GGGAGUCAGAAGAAAAACAGAUCAGACCAGAGCAGACAAUAGGCCCCUAAAGUGUUCCCCCUAAGUUGCUUUGAUGUUGUCCUAGUGUCUUGAUACCAGGAGGCCGGGGAUUGCAGGAAAAGGGCCUUUUUUGUCUUCAUUCACUUUCCCCCCUCAGUUUCUGAAAUGAUUCUCCAGAAUUUCUCCUCAUAAAAAAGGUAAGAGCCCUAACAAUUCCUUCUUCUGUGGCUGGCUCGUUCGCCCGUGCCUGGAAGUGGGGGUCUCAUUCCUGCGCUGCUCAGGAGGGAGCGCUGGGGUCCUGCCGCUGGAGCUCUUGCCUUUGCCCCUAGAAGUGCUGCAGGGCUGGGGAUGGCCCCUCUUUCGAGGGAACCCCAGUAACACGAUCUGUGCCUCUGGGUUGGUGGGGGAGAAGGGGUGGAUGGAGAGGGGCGGGAGGAGGGUGUGAGGGUGGAGGUGUGAGGGGGAAAGAGAGAGAGGAGAGAGAGGGGAGGCUGAAAGAGAGGGAGAGAAGGGCAGAGCCCUCGUUCGGAGCAGCCCCAGCCUGGAGCCCAAGGAGGCCUUGCAGGCUGGGAGCUGUGCGUUCUCAGGCAGGGCUAGGGCUGGCCGGGGGGUGCCUGCAGAGAUGGCCUCGAGCUUUGUGUGUGCGAGGGUGUGCGUGUGGACUUCCCCCACAUGGCCCUGGCCCCCCUUGUGAAGGGGAGGCACCCCAGCCCUCGUCACCCCGAGCCCAGACUCGGAGGCAGAGCGGCAAGCAGACGAGAAGGGAGAGCAGGAGAACUCUGCUGCGAGACAAUCCAGAAACUUUUCCAGUCUCGGGGAUUUCUCUGGUGGUAGAUGCUGUAAAGGAGUUGUGUGGGGGGGUGGGGUGCGGGGGGUGGGGAAGGGGGGCGUGCCUCAGUUUCCCCUUCUGUACAAUCCAGAGAGCUGAGUGGGGAUGCCGCAGGUCUGCCUGGGAUUUGGCGACACAGUACAGAUCCUUGUGUCUAAGAGGCAUGGAGACAUCUUCGAGCUGGCAAUCCUGCAGGAUCCCCAAGUAGAACUGUUAUCAUCAUCAUCGUCAAACCAUCAUUAAAGACACCCCGAGACAAAAAACCGGGGAACACAGAUCAAGUGUCUGAGCAUUUCUAAGGAAACAAAAUGCCUUUUUCCACCUGUUGGCUUCUGUCCUUUCCUCUUGUGUCUUUUCGUUAGAUUUAUUGGCCGAUUUGUACAGAGAAUGGGGUGGGAGGGCUUAGGUUUUCCCCUUUCCUCCUCCCUUGUACAUAUUUUUUUUUUUUAAAAGAAGGUCCCUGUAAGAUGCUUGAGAGAAAAUGUGCCUCCUGUUAGAGUAGUUUAUUCAAGACCUUGUGUUUUCUGGCUCUGGUAAGGCUUGUAGACACAUCUGUAAACUCUACCUUGGAGGUUAAAGAUUUUUAUUGUGGCUUUUAGAGAUUAAAUGAGAUUUAUUUACAAUUGCUGUUUAUCAGAGAGUAAAUGUCUUACUGUGUGUGUGAGGGUAAGAAUGUGAAGGCUGUUUACUCGCUGGUGGUUUUGUGGAUAAAACCUUUUGCUUUUUAAAGUGACAUCUUGAGAGAUGGGAAGAGAAGGCAAAAAUCAGUGCCUAACACUCAUCGUAAAAAAAUUUUUUUAAGAAAAAAAAUGUCUGCUUAUUUUCUUGAACUGUGGAUUUCCUUUCUUCUCUUCUUACGCGGCAAGGCUCUCAGUUGUAGCUCUCUUUGAAUUCUCUGGGGGAAUUUCGCUUUCUUACCUAAUUCUAGGUUUUCUGUGACUCUGCUAGUUGUCCCCCCCAAGAAAAAAAUCUGUGAAAGUCUGGGAGGCUGUGCCUCCUUCCAUUCGAACUGCAAAUGUUUAUCAGACUGACUCCCUGUGAUAGCUAGAGAUUGAAGCAAAGGGCCGGCCCUGGUUCAGAAUAUUUAUGUUUUUCUCUGGGAGGCCUGGAGAACCUGACUUCUGGGUGUGAGAAGGGCUGAAAGAGAGAUACUAAUUGGCCUGGAUCGGGCAAGAAGCACCCUCCACACACCCAUAUAAUGUUUCACUGGAAUAGAACUGAACUUCGUAUUUAAAAACUUAAUUCUUUUCCACUUCGUAAAGCAGAAGAUCUUACCAUGGUUUGGUUCCGGAUAUCUUCCUAAAAUGUUAGAGUUUCAGAACUGCCAGGGGAGAGAAAGGGUAUUUAUUCCUCAGGUCUUAAAUGAGAACACCAAAGGCCUGGAAGGAUCAGCAGUGAUCUGAGGGGUUCGAUGAAGCUGCCCUGGGGUUCUGGGUGCCCCGAUGGUGUCGCGCUGGCCCCCUUCCCUGGCCUCCACGCUGGACCCUGUACGGCCCAGCACUCGGGUCUGCCAAGAAGAUUGGCACCUUUUGGCUUCUGCUUGCCGUGCUGGACUAGAGCGGUACACUCAGCCCUGCUCAUGGCACACGGAGCGGACAGGGCGACCCCGUGUGACAGCGUGAGUUCGCAGGAAUUCAUUCAUGUAUUCACUUGUCUGUUCAAGUGAUAUUUGAGGGGCAUUUCCUAGGUACCAGGCGCCUUGCUGGGCACCGAGGACACAGGGAAGGACCAGGCGCGUGGUCCCUUGCUCUUGGAGCACUUGGUCCUGGUGGUGUAAUCAACAUUCACCACACAGUUAAAUUAUAAUCAUAAUACCGAUAAUUCACACCGAACAGCAUGCAGAUACCGUCAUAGGGCAGAGCAUAAAGGCGUAGAAGUAACUGCCCUAAAUUUGUAGCUAGACUUAAGCUAGCUGUCCUUUUUUCUUGGCUGAGUUCUCCCCCCAGCCAACUUCCAUUUCACUGGAGGCAUCCCAACUCGCACAGAGUCCAGUGUUUCCAGUUAGAACCCCUCCCCCCACCUGCCCACAGUGCAACAGAGAUACAAAUAGUAUCUAUUAACCCUUUACACUUGUACUAUUAAAUAACUUCACAGUCAUUGUGAGUUGGCCUCCGUGGCAGCCAUUGCCCGGGUGACUCACGUUAGCUGUGGCCUCUGCACCCUGUUAACUUCUAAUGGGCAUUGGGAGAGACAUGUGGUUCGUGAAGCCCUUGUCUCAUUUCACUUAUUCCAUAGUUUCUCCAGUUGAUGCCAACUAAACACAUAGCUGUGGGAAACCCCGCCAUUAGCACUGUCCCCUCACAAUUCCAAAGACCAUAGAUAGCGUAAUGACAUGGCUUUUCCCAUUCCUCCUGACAAGGACGUGUAUCUACAAAGGGCAAAUAUUUUAAAGCCUCUUCAUCUUACCAUAGUCCCCUUUGGGCUGGGUUAUUAAAAUCUGACUGGCUUGAUCCCCCAAAGUAGGAGAAUCUCCCGUCCCCAUUUUGGCCUUGCUUGGAGGGAACGUAUGGUUGAAAUGCCAGUCUCUUCCGUGUCCGUGCAGGCAGACUUGUGCUCACGCUUGUAUCCCCAUUUUCUACAUGGUGUGUUUCUCUAGUACUCAGAGGAGUGUUGUCAAUCCAUCUUUUUUUUUUUUUUUCUAGGCUAAUUUAGUACUUUAAAAGGAAGACAGACAUGCCCACCCACACAUAAAUCAUAGGUUUGGUGCCUCUACUUGGGGAACCUACACAGGUCGUGUGGUUAAGUCGUGUGAUGAGUCAUUUCUCUGCACCCAACGUUGUUACGCGGUGAAGUACCGGCCUGCAUUGUAGCGACAGCCCUAUCCACAGCUUGCCAUCGUCAUCUGCAUUUGGCACCUGUGGCCAUUGCCUUCUCCUGUGAGCUGUACGACUUCAUUUGCAAGUAUUUGAUCACUUCCGACACACUCUGCCCGCCCCCCAAUGUGUUACUCACUGGGGCGCUGCCUCUGGGGGAGGCAGUCUGGCUUUGGAAGAGUAAUCCAAGGAGGGGAGUGGGGAGCUAAGAUGUGGAUAGAAGGAGGAUCUGGUUGAGGGAGAAAUUUAACAGAACUGGGAAGCCAGACAACAAGUCAUCAGGUCGUCCUUAACUCUGGGGGAAUAAAAAUGAAGACUGAUGACAUUUAAAAAGUGCAUUGUUUGUGCACUGUGUGUAAAUAAAAGUGCGAGAGCUUCUAGUCCCUCUGAAGGUAAAACCGUUACUACCUGCGGGACAUUCCCCAAACUCCUUGGUUACAAAUGCCGAUUUUGCAUGUAACUUUAGUGAAGGGAAUUGUGUGUGUGUGUGUGUGUGUGUGUGUGUGUGUGUGUUUUCCCCCAAAAGAUAUAAAUAUAAGGUGUAAAAUGGAAAUUUUCUCCAUUUCUUUUAAGCCUUGACAUUUUAAUGCACUUUAAAAUAUCUGCUAAGCCCUCUCUGACAAUAGCCCUAUGAAUUAAGUAGUAUCGUUAUCCUUCUGUUAUAGUUGAGUAAGGUUAUGUGACUCACCCAAGGACUCACAAGAAAAUAAGGGGCACCAUGGCUAGCUGAUUAAAUUUCCGUUUUUCCGUUAGGCCAAAUCCCUUCAAGAGAUGAGAAGCAGAGACGUGAGGCAGUCACCAUUGAUAUUCCAGACAAAUUUACUCCUUUCUUUAAAGACUUAAGAGUUAGAGUGUUCAGGUGCCUGGGUGGCUCAGUCGGUUGGGCCUCCGACUUCGGCUCAGGUCAUGAUCUCGUGGUUCGUGGGUUUGAGCCCCGCGUCUGGCUCUGUGCUGACAGCUCAGAGCCUGGAGUCUGCUUCAGAUUCUGUGUCUUCCUCUCUCUCUGCUCCUCCCCUGCUCAUGUUCUGUCUCUGUCUCUCAAAAACAAAUAAAUGUUAAAAAAUUAAAAAAAAAAGAUUUAGAGUGUUGAUCAAAAAAGAAGGGGCCCCAAUUCUAAUUUAAGCUUUACAUGGUUUUUACGAGUGUAUUGGACCAGUUUUUGGUUUUGGUUUUGCCAUUCUAUGACCCAGGACUCCCCAUUCUGCUCCCCUGGACCUCUUUCAGAAUGAGGGGCUGGGCUACCUCAUAUCUAAGUUUCCUUCCUGUUGUUCCCUAUGUCUCGAAUUCUGUGAAGAGAAUGUUCCACGGAUCUGGUCUUUUGGUUACAUUUUACAAAGCCCAAUUCAAGAACGGUGGUCCCCAGAGGGGAGAUGUGAGUUUUGUGGGUAUAUGGGAUUCAUUCCUACACAUCCAAACCACGUUGACGUUUUGAAGUGAAAAGCACAAUAAGCAAAAGUGGGAUUUUAAUUUAUGGAUUUGAAGAGAAUUGGCCAGUCAGCAUGCAGGCGCAUGUGCAAGGAGACUAAAGAACCAGUUCCAAAAGAAUAGGCUGUUUUGAAUGCACAUCUUCCUGUAUAAUAAGUAUGAAUUGAAAAUGGACGGGCCCCGGGUACACCUCUUAGCUUCACCAUGCUUACUGCUUCCUCCCAGAAAUUGUGCUGUUCCUUUUCGAACUAUGCUUGCAUACUGUUUCGAGGGCGCAAGGGACCAGUUUAAGCAACGGCAGUGCCGAUGACACACGCUACGUGUUAAACACCGUGCUUUGGGGGAUGACAGGGCUACUGACGAUCUUUAUGAUCAGCAGCUCCUGGAGGAUAUUGCUGAAGACUUGCUGAUAUGAUGUGUGAGAUAUAUAUAUAUAUAUAUAUAUAUAUAUAUACACACACAUACACACACAUACAUAUGUGGAAUAUACCUUUAGGACGUGAGUGAAAAACUGCCUCUGAAAUGUGACCAAGAGAGACAGAUAGGGUGGAGACUGAAUGAUGUUUUUAUUAAUCAUGUUUUGUAUGAGUAAUUCCAAGCACUAGUCGCUUGAAACUGGCUAAAUCUUUGAAAAGAUAGAAUUUAAAAAUUUCACAUGGUAGCUCUUAAUGCAAUUUUUGGAAUCUGGAGUAAGAACUUGUACCAUAUUUUAGGACUAUCAUCUUACUUGUGGCAAGGGAGACUAGUUCAAGGCGCUUUGAGGAUCAGUAAACCACUGACUCUCUUUGAAUUGGUCUUAUUUCUGUCUGCUAAAAAAAAAAGUAUCUAAGAUAUAAUUACUUUUAACUGGGGAAGGGAAUUUGGAAGACCAUAUUUAAUAAUAUUUUGACUUAUACCUUUAUUUUUGGUUGCUUAAAAUUCCUAACAUUGGGCAUCUAGCUUAACUUCAUAAAAUCCUAAGAAGUAACUACGUAAGAGAAAUAUAUUAUUGACUUUAUAGAUGGGAAAACACGAACAGGUUUGUGAAAUGAUAUACCAGCAAGCUUUUUAGAACAUAAGACUAUGCUCUAUAGGGGCGCCUGGGUGGCUCAGACGGUUGAACGUCCGACUCCGGUUCAGGUCGUGAUCUCACGGUUCGAGCGUUCGAGCCCUGCGUCUCGAAACCUUCUUCAGAUUCUGUGUCUCCCUCCCUCUCUCUCUGCCCCUCUCCUGCUUGUGCUCUAUCUCUCAAAAAUAAUUAAAUAAACUUAAGAAAAAAGACUAUGCUCUAUAGAAAUAUGUGAAAUGUGGUUAUUGUUGAAUGCUAAACUUGAAGGAAAAGAAAAACAUAUUCUAUAUAUCAGUGUAGCCAAUCUGACUUUUGAUGAUCAAGAUAAUUAUCAAAAGUAUUUUUUUAUGUUAUAUGUUAACAAUACUGGAAUUAAAAUAAAAAUCUUAAAGUAUUUUUAUUUUGUUCGUGGAAAGGUUCGAAAUGCCUCUAAUCAAAAGCUUUGGAGAGCUUUAGUAAUUUAUGUGAAAACCAUAAUCGUUGGGGUGCCUGGGUGGCUACGGUUGAGCAUCUGACUUCAGCUCAGGUCAUGAUCUCACGGUUUGUGGGUUCGAGCCCCGCGUCGGGCUCUGUGCUGACAGAGCCUGGAGCCUGCUUCGGAUUCUGUCUCCUCCUCUCUCUGCCCCUCCCAUGCUCAUGCUUUGUCUCUCUCUGUCUCUCAAUAAUAAAUAAGUGUUAAGAAAAAAAAAUUUUUAAUAAAAAAAAAAACCAUAAUCAUUCUUUUCCUCGAAAAAUACAUACACAAACUCAAAAUGAACAGUAAUGACAGUUGAAAGGAACCAAGCCAUCAUUUGCUCAGAAGAGAAACUUGGGAGCCUUGUGGUAGCUUUACCUUGUCUAGUACUAGCUACAUUGGAUUUUCUGCUAUCCUUGGGGCUGGCGUAGUUAGCGUAUGGUUGGGGAGAAAAACUUUGCUUAAGGUGUAUGACUAAGGGACUUUUUGAACGUGAGUCAAGGGCAUACUUGCCUUUUCUAAAGACGCCUGGAUUGGUGGCUUAUUGUAUGGAAGUCCAUGAUAUCCCGGGGUCUUUAAGGCAACUGUGGUCUAAAGGAUGCAGAGCAUUAGUGCCCAGGUCAUUACCUUCGCUUGGACAUCUUUCCACCUCAUCUUUUCCAAGCCAACUCCUGCCGCUCCUUCAAGACUUAUCCUGGGCAUUUCUUCUGGGAAGCUUCUUAGAUCCUAUCUCUGUCCCACUGCCUCUUCGGCCGGGCGUAUGCUUAUGUGGCCUUUAUGACACUGCGCUGGAAUAGGAUACUUCCUGCUCUGGGCUGUAGCCCCUUCAAGGUUUGGGACUGUCUUUAGCUUUUGUGCACCUGCUGCCUAGCACAGGGUGAAACAGCAGGUGGUCAUUUGUUGCUGUCAAGUGAAUAGGUAAUUCACAGUGAAAUGUAGCUUAUUAAGAAAUUUAACUAAACCGGGGCACCUGGGUGGCUCAUUCGGCGACUCUUGAUCUCAGGUCUUGAUCUCAGGGUUGUGAGUUCAAGCCCUGCACUGGGUUCUGUGCUGGGCGUGAAGCCUACUUAAAAAAAAAAAAGAAGAAGAAGAAAUUUAGCUAAAUGCAAAAAGAACAACAGGUAAAAAUCUUAAAUUAUACAACCUUACAUCCCAAGUUAAAAAAAGGAAGUUUCUUGUAUUAGGAUAUUCACCCUUCUCCUCCUUUGCAGAGUAAACUAUACCUUCAUAGCAAAGUAUUUUGUGAAUCCCUGAAUCUUUCCUCUUCUUGUGCUCAGCUUUUCUCCUGUAAAGUUUGUUGUGUUUCUCAUUGGUCUAAGAGUUUACUUCUUACGUCAAAGGGUCAUAGGUGAUAAAUGAGUGGUGCGGUCUGUAUUGAUAUUUAGGUAGUAGCUAAACAGGAGAAGUUUCUCUUAUCUCAGAAACAGGGAAAAUAGAUCUUUGAGGAAGUCUGGACAAUCAGAGGGUCGUCAGGUGAACGAAUGCCUGACUUCCAGGAAUCUGCAGUUGAGACUCACCUGAAACAAGAGAACAAUACAAUUGAAACUUCAUUUUCUAAAAGAGGUUUUAAGUGCUGAACCCUCAAGAAAAGGCCUUCUGGUUGCAAAGAACUGACUCAUGGAAGUUUCCUCAAGGAAAGGGGUUUCCCUGUGGGGAUGCUCAAGAAGGAACCUGAAAUCAGAACUGAAGUCUUUCAGGACCUGAGGCAGCUCCAAGGGCAACCUCUUCUUUUAUAUCAGUCUCGUUCUCUCACUGUGUGUUUGCCUUACUAGCUCCUUUUGCUACAUGCUGAUUUGGUCUUCCAGCUUUAUUCGGCGUAACCUCUCUCCAUCUCAUAGCUUUUGCUUACAUCUAGUGUUGCUUCUUUGACUUGCCAAGACCUCCAUGUCCAGAACUCUACCCUCUCUACCCUGCUUCUUCUGUUUCUUCUUCCUUGUGCCUUCUUUCCCUACAUUUUUCAUCUGUAAUUUUCCCUGAUAAUUGCUUCAUUCUCUCAGGUUUUCCUAAUUCAGAUACCCAAGAAAGAAUCCAAUAACCCAGCUAGCCUUUUCCUUGCCCUUCUUCUAAGUCCCUAACCAGCCUUGCGCGAGGGUCAAACGCAAACCUCUAGCCUAGAGUGCCGCGGUAAANNNNNNNNNNNNNNNNNNNNNNNNNNNNNNNNNNNNNNNNNNNNNNNNNNNNNNNNNNNNNNNNNNNNNNNNNNNNNNNNNNNNNNNNNNNNNNNNNNNNNNNNNNNNNNNNNNNNNNNNNNNNNNNNNNNNNNNNNNNNNNNNNNNNNNNNNNNNNNNNNNNNNNNNNNNNNNNNNNNNNNNNNNNNNNNNNNNNNNNNNNNNNNNNNNNNNNNNNNNNNNNNNNNNNNNNNNGGGGGGUGUUAAUAUAAAACUGGAUUGCCGUUUAGUAGGAACUAUGGAAGGGCCAUCUUCCCUUCUAUGUAGGUGGCAACAAAUGUAUUUGACAUAUCUAAUAUAAGUCCAUUAUGGAAAUUUAAAGAAAUUAAGGGUAACCAGACUAUUAAAAAUUAAAAUGUUUCGGGGCGCCUGGGUGGCGCAGUCGGCUAAGCGUCCGACUUCAGCCAGGUCACGAUCUCGCGGUCCGUGAGUUCGAGCCCCGCGUCGGGCUCUGGGCUGAUGGCUCGGAGCCUGGAGCCUGUUUCCGAUUCUGUGUCUCCCUCUCUCUCUGCCCCUCCCCCGUUCAUGCUCUGUCUCUCUCUGUCCCAAAAAUAAAUAAACGUUAAAAAAAAAAAAAAUUAAAAUGUUUCAUGGUUGACAGUAUACAGAGAUAAGAAGACUGUAGGAACAAAUAGCAAAUUUGUAACCAGGAAAGAAAUUAGGAGAGGGAAAUGUAUUAGAGUUAGUUCUUAGAUGAGUGACAUCAUUUCAUACAUUUAUUAAAAGGCUGGAGUGUGUGAAUAGUGAAAGUGAGAAUAUAUUGUGUCAGAUCCCAGAGGCUGGCUUAAAAAGCAAGCCUAAUCGAGGCACCUGGGUGGCUCCGUCGGUUGAGCGUCGAACUUCGGCUCAGGUCGUGAUCUCACGGUUCGUGGGUUCAUGCCUAACAGGUGGGAGCCUGGAGCCUGCUUCGGAUUCUGUGUCUCCCUCUCUCUCUGCUCCUCCCUUGCUCGCACUAUGUCUCUCUCUCAAAAAUAAAUAAAGAUUAAAAAAAUAAACAAAAAGCAAGCACAAUCCAGGGCGCCUGGGUGGCUCAGUCAGUUAAACAUCCCACUUUGGCUCAGGUCAUGAUCUCACGGUUCAUGGGUUCGAGCCCCAUGUUGGGCUCUGUCCUGACAGUUUGGAGCCUGGAGCCUGCUUCGCAUUCUGUGUCUCCCUCUCUCUCUCUGCCCCUCCCCAGCUUGUGCUCUGUCAUUCUCUCUCUCAAAAAUAAAUAAACAUUAAAAUUAAAAAAAAAAAGCAAGCAUAAUCUUGAAACUGGGGAUUAGGGUGGGGAUAAAUAGGCUUCUUAGGGAGUUUCUGCCUAUACUUUCUGCCUGUAUUUUCUUUCUCUGCUUCCUAUUCUGUUCUUGAUCCCACUUACUUUAGCUUCUGGAACAAUCUGUCAUGAACUAAUGAUGUGACCUUGGGCUGGUUAUUUAUUCUCUCUGAAACUCAAUUUACUCAUCUGUAAAAUAGGGAUAAUGAUUAUUAUCUCGAUAGCUUAUUACAAGAAUUAAGUUAGAUGGCAUAAUAUAUUUAAAGGCAUAAUAUAUUACCUAGGAUAGGUAAUGAGCACAUAGGUGCUCAGUCCAUUGUAACAAUUAUUCUAGCACACAGGAAGGAAGGAAACAUUGACUGAAUGUGUUGGGUAAAAUUUUGCUUCUUAUAUCAUUUAUCUUUUGUAAGAAUCCUAAAGGGUUUGUAUUAUUAUUUCUACUUUAUGAACAAGGCUACAAUUUUAAUAAUUAAUUGAGUAUUUGCUACGUGCAAAGCACUGACCUGAACCUUUUCCUGUGUUGUCUUAUUUAAAUCAAGUUAGGUGCUCGUUAUGUUUCAUGUCGUAGUUGAGGAAAUUGAGGUCUAGAGAGUUUAACUUGCCCAAAGCCGUACAACUGGUAAGCGCCAAUCAGAGCUUAUGUGUAAGUCUGUCUGAACUCAGGUCCAUCUGACUCGAAUGUUUUCCAAAGUCACUUAGCGGCUGAAUGUGAAUGUGAUGGAAUCGAGAUUCUGGUCUUGUGUAGGGCAGCGUUCUUGAAGUUCACCACCAGAGGUAUGCACUGACUGAAUGACAGAUAGUGGUAAGCACACACACACUUACGCUGCAUCUGAGUCUGAAUGCCAUGACUAGACAGACAAGGGCAAAUUUUGGAAAGAGUACAAAGGAAAAAAAAAUUUUAAAAUUAAAAUACGUCCAAAUAGGCCUCCCAGGCCUGAUGAAACGAUUUAACAAACAUGUGUUGAAUGUCUACUGUGUGUCAGGCAAUGAAAAAUGAUCUUGGCCUUGUGAGAGUGCAAGGCAAGUAAGACUGAAUUCCUUCCUUUAAGGUGCUUUCAUUCUGGUGGAAAGAGAUAGAUGCUCAGACAGUUAAUAAAGCCUGUAGCGCUGGAUCAAGGAACUAUGGGAGUCAAGGGAGAGAACGGUUAGUUUGGUGGGUGAAGGAAACGGUGGUAGAAGGAACAGAGGAAGGCUUCAUGCAGUAGACAACAUCUGCCGUGGUCUUUGAGGGGACAAAUACAGAAGGACAAGAAGCCUCCUAUAGUUUCCUUUUUCUUGAUACCAAUGGUUUUACAAAGAGUGGUACAAAGUAACUCCUGCAGUAAUAUAUUGAGAGUUAGUAGUGUUUUUAAAGAUUAGGUUCGUGGGGCGCCUGGGUGGCUCAGUCGGUUAAGCGUCCGACUUCGGCUCAGGUCAUGAUCUCUCAGCCUGUGAGUUCCAGCCCUGCGUCGGGCUCUGUGCUGACCGCUCAGAGCCUGGAGCCUGUUUCAGAUUCUGUGUCUCCCUCUCUCUGACCCUCCCCCGUUCAUGCUCUGUCUCUCUCUGUCUCAAAAAUAAAUAAAGGUUAAAAAAAAUUUUUUUUUUUUAAAUAAAAAAAGAUUAGGUUCGUUGAGUGUGAAGAAACAGCUACUCUUGUUAAUCAUAAGAAUAUAUUUGGGGCGUCGGGGGAGGGGGGGGAGGGAGCUCAGUUGGUUAAAUGUCCGGCUUCGGCUCAGGUCAUGAUCUUGCAUUCGUGAGUUUGAGCCCCGUGUCGGGCUCUGUGCUGACAGCUCGGAGCCUGGAGCCUGCUUCGGAGUCUGUGUCUCCCUCUCUCUCUGCCCCUCCCCAGCUCACACUCUGUCUCUGUCUCUCUCUCUCUCAAAAUAAAUAAAUGUUAAAAAAGUUUUUGUUUUUGUUUUAAAGAAUAUAUUUGUGUUUUCCUGGUCUGCACUUAGAUGUGUUUCUAUUAAAAGGACCAGAAAAUGGAAUCCUGUUUUCUAUGCAUUCUAGUUUGAAGAUCUCAAGUUGUCCAGCAAUCCAACAAGAAACUACAAAUCCCCCAAGUGGCCAAAUGGUACACCAGUGUCCGCUUUCAGCUGUAUCGUGAGGCGUUAAAAGUACUAAGUUACCGGCAAGUGGGUCACCUAUCCAUUUAAAUUUGGAAUGGAGAUUUUAGUCUGUGGUUGGGAGUUCUCAAUUUUUCUUACAUACAAUACCAGGUUUUCUGAAAAAAAAAACAAAACAAAACAAAAACAAAACAAAACAACAAAACAAAACAAACAAAAGAAAGCAAAAUGCCAGUCCCAAUUUAAAACGUUCUGCCUUCGCUCCAUAAGUAUAUUCAUGAUUGGUAAUCUAUGUGUUCUGAUUGUAAUUCAAAGUCAUCAAUUAAAUGUUUGGAGAGGCCUGUAGACAUCUUCUGCUCACAGACUUUGUCCCUUGUUUUUGUUUGGUUCUUUGCUCAAGUCCCUCUUUUCCCCAAUCUCUGUUGAUGGACAUUAUGCUCACCCUUCCUAGAGCCUGAGGAGUCUCUCCAUCCCCAGAGUGUCCAUGUUAUCUGGUUCUUUUCUUGAAGUGACCGUAAGAGCUCUACACGUUCACCAUCACAAAUCCCUUAAUAGGCGAUAAACAAGAGGGCAGGUUUUAGGUGCCAUUCACCUACAGAUCCCUGUAAACACCCAACACGGCCCCUGCCUUACGAGUAGCUGGCGCUCAGAGAUGUUUACUGAACUGAACUGAAUUGAGUUCUGGGUUUUGUCGGACUGGGUUUUUCAGAGCUAUUUAUUUAUCUUGAGAGACACAGAGACAGUGCGAGUGGGGGAGGGGCAGAGAGGGAGAGGGAGAGAGAGAAUCCCAAGCAGGCUCCACGCAGCCAGCGCAGAGCCCCACGCGGGGCUCGAAUUCGCGAAACCAUGAGAUCAUGACCUGAGGUGACACCGAGAGUCGGACGCUUAACCGACUGAGCCACCUAGGUGCCCCACGUCGGGCUGGCUUUGGGUCUAGUAACGUUGGUGUCUGACCUCCAGUUCCCUUUUGGAAAAGAAACGUUGCUUUAAAAAGAAAGCCUUUUAACUGAUUUUAGGAUGAAAGAAACCAUGUAGUAUAAACAGUAAUUGUAAUUAUUAUUAAUACACAUAAUUAAAAUAGCAUGAACUGGUAGAAGUGCUUCCAUGCUUACUCUUCCUGGCAGAGUGGGCAGGCCUGAUGAACUAACUGGUCUUUUCCAUCUGUAAUAUGUAUGAUUCUUUGAAAUUUUAUGUAGACAAGUGCGAGCUAAUGUACACUGGAAGGAACAAUUGAAACAGCUCAUACUCACUGAUGGGCUCUGAAUUACUCCACUUGUAAGUGCCCAGGAAAAAGAUCUCGGAUUCAUUGUGGAUUGCUCAAUGGAGACAUCUGCUUGCUGUGCAGAGGCAGCCAGAAGAAUGAAUGAGAUAUAAUAGGCUGUAUUAACUUUGAGAAUGGGAUAAAGAAUGAUGCAGAAAAUAAUAUAGUGCACAUAAUUUGGCAUUGACUAGUUCUGUAAUUACAAUAAAACAUUUUAAUGACAUACAUUGAUGUCAUGACUUCACCUUAAAAUCAGAAUUCGGCAUUGGGUCCUUUCGUCUCCAAGAAAACAAAGCAGAAAUACAAAAGACCUAGAGAAAAACAACAGACCAUCUCCAAGACAUGCAAAGGAUUUGCCUAUAAUGAGAGACUGAAAAGACAAGGACAUUUUAAUUUGGAUAAAGGGGAAGGGGGGGAAUGACAUUGUAUAAAUUUAUUUAAAAUUAAUGAAAGUUUCAGAAAAUUGCUCGAGCUCGCUUCAGAUUAUCCUUGGUAAUGGAGGUCAGAGAUAGGCAGGAUAAUUGAAAUCCUUGAUAAUCUCCAACCCUCAUUUGAGCUAUUAGUUGCAGCCUCCUGUCCUAUGAAAAGUUUUAACAAAUGAACAAAUAGGGACAUUGCAGCCCACGGUUUGUGAACUAAACAGCCGACAAGAAAGGCAGCCAGGGUGUUGGGAAGCUCACAGAGUUUGAAAUCAGGUGACUAGGGUUCUGGUCCAUACUCUGUGUUUAUCAUCUGUCCAACCUUGAGUGCUAUGCUUGACUUCUAGGAGACCCAGUCCCCUCAUCUGUAAGAUGGAGAUAAUAGCAAUACUUGCUUUGCAUGCUUGUUGGGAGAACCAAAUGGGUCCAUUGAAAGUGGUGGGUGAGCCUUGAUGUUUGAUAUUGCGGAUUGGUUUGUUAAGAGUAUUGGCUUGCCGGUCUCCUGGCACCUGGGAACUUACAUCACACCUUCCCUUUUCUUGAACUUUCUCCAGCUUAUGUUUGUGGCAGGAAAUUUUAGAAGAGGUGUGCCACAUUUCUUUAAUCUCCAGGAUCAUCCACAGAUUGUCUUACUCCCUUGCUCCCAGUAAGCCUUAAGAUAAUUUUGCAAUGUUUUUAUUAAUGCAUGAUUAUCUAAAGGUCAUCUCCUGUAAUUUUCACAACAGUCUGCUGAGGUACAGACCCACAGUUGUCUUCAUCUUCCAGAUAUAGACACGGAAGCACACACGACUUGCUUAAGGACACAUAGCAAUGACUGAACAGAGUCAGACCUGUGUUGUCUUACCUCUGGGUUGAUUGACAAAGUCUAGAAAGCCGACUUUUGUGACUAUGCUGAUUCCUCUCCUGGGGAGUGAUUGGCUUACUUAUUUCCCUAGGAACGCCUACUGUAUUCUUUGGCACCCAAUUCAGGACUAACCUCCUCCAUGGAGCCUGUCCUGAGCCCUCCUUUCCCCAAGAAGAAGUCGUCUUGUAUGCCUCAGCCCCCCAUAUUGUAGCUUUAAACAUACUAUUAUGUUAACAGUGGAAACUCUUAUGCCCUAUGCAAUGAAUAGUUGGUGAUUUGGUUGAACAAGUUAGUUAAAGCAGGAAUCAUACAAAAUGAUGGAAUCGUUCCUUAAGCUUUUAUUUCAACUUAAAACAUCCCUCAAAUUUUUGAUGUAGGGCCAAGGCCUCUCUUGUCUUUUGAGUUUCAGGCCUCCCAUUAGAGUUCUGUGCCCUAUUUCUCAUAUAAGCCACACCUCUGAGGCUUUUGCAAUCAUUUUGUCUUGGUUUCCUUUAAAGUAGAGCAAGAUCUUAAAGCCAUUCUGGGAAGCAAUCAGAUUUUUCCAGAUUUUUUACAGGUGGCUCUCCCACGUAUACACUGACGGCACAUGUUUUUAGUAGUUCACCUUUCCUGUGCCUUUCCCAAACAUUCACCUGAGCUCCGGUAGAAACAAAUCCUCUCUUCUUUAUUCAUAUUCCUUAUGUUACGUACAUUUACUUAAAUUGUGUAAUAACAGUGACGGGAGGAACUAGACUAAGUAGGUUUGGAAACAAACAUGCCAACUUCUGGUGGGCAGACAACUCUGCUGCGGGAAUAGCAGAGGGCAGGCUCCUAGAGGAGCCCACCACUGGCCGUGAUCACCCCGCAUCAUGGGCCUAUGUCUGUACCUUUACAGAUGGAGUGGAGGCCACAGAUGAGUCCGUGAAGUGUCAGUCACUCAAGGGAGCCCCUGCUCAGUGUGGCUUCUGCUCCAUGUCUGGCCUCGAAGAUGAAUGCCUUGAAGGUCUAGCAUUUAUCUUUCUGGUUAGGAUCUAGCACAGUGACGGGUAUAUAGUGAGCCCUCAGUAAACAUCAACUAACACGCCAACUAGCCGUGCCAACAGAAACAAAACAUAACUUUGCCACUGUUCAUUUUCUGCUGGGAGUACUAAACAGCGAUCACCUGUCCAGAAGUUGGUUUAGGGAGAGAGAAGAAGAGCUGGCAAGUGAAUUUCAAAUAUUAAUGGAAGAUAAGAUAACAUGUACCAUUAAACAGUUAAAUGUGAGGCAGCUAUAAAGGAUUGGAUUUUGUUUAGGGGCGCCUGGGCGGCUAAGUCGGUUAAGCGUCCAACUCUUGAUCUCAGCUCAGGUCUUGAUCUCAGGGUUGUGCGUUCAAGCCCUGUGUUGGGCUCCACGCUGGGCGUGAAGCCUACUUAAAAAAAGAAAAAAAGGAAAGAAAGAAAGAAAAAAGAAUUGGAUUUUGUGUAAUAUGUAAUUAACCUGUGUAACUCUAACACAAAAAAAUAGCAUUGAGACAAGCAUGCUUGAUAACAUUUUAUAAAAGACAAGAUAUGUCCUUACGUGAGACAAAAAUCCACACUUAAAACCACAGUAUCUGACUACAAAGAGCCUCUCUGGUGAUUAUGUUCAGGGCCAGCCAGGUCAUGAAAAAAUUUCCCUUACUCAUAUAUCAUUGGAGCAUGGAGUUGAUUAUACGCUUCUUGUGACAAAGUAAAGCAUCUUGAAUUGAGCACCAGAAGAGGAAAGGAGUCAGAUGUGAAGGAUAUUAAACUUGACAAAGACAUUCUGUGGUAGGUGAUUGGUUUGGAAGAUGGUGGUAGACUUCUGGUGAAGGCAAGGAUAUCCUCUUUCCUAAGAUAAAGUAGGCAAAACAUUUAGCCUUGCGCUCAAUAAAUGUUGAACCAAAAUAUACUCACUAAGCAAAGUUGGAAAAUUAUAGAAGGUUUACGCGACUACAGGAAAUGGGAUGAUAAAAAAUACACACACAUAUAUAUAUAAACAUAUAAAGAAUAUAUAUAAACAUAAAUUUAUAUAAAAUAUAUAAAGAAUGUGUGUGUGUGUGUGUGUGUGUGUGUAGAAUAGAAUGGAUUCUCCUUGGGAUCUAGUGCGAACUUUCUCCUUAGUUUACCAUUGUGAGAAUCUGUAGACCAGUACCAAUUAUUAAUUCUUGAGGGCCUCCCUGUUUCUCAAGAGGUUGUGAAGGUGUUAUCUAUCAAAGGAAAAAGGGAAUUAGCAGGGCAUUGAGCUCUCAUGGUGUGCCAGUCAUUAUGCUAAGUGUUUAAUAUGUGUUAUAUUCCUUUGAAUAUAAGUCGCCAUUGAUUUUUGUAAGACCCAUAUUACUUUAUGUGCCACUAUGACACAAAAUAACACUCUCAAUUAAACUAUGGCACACUACCAGUGUUCAAGUGCAUCUUGAGGGGUUGGGGGAGAGGGGAAAGUGGGUGAUGGGCAUUGAGGAGAGCACUUGUUGGGAUGAGCACUGGGUGUUGUAUGGAAACCAAUUUGACAAGAAAUUAUAUUUUAAAAGAAUGCAUCUGGAUUUGCAAGCUAUUAAAAGGUGAAAAACUACCCAUCUUAGAAUUGAGGCGAUAUGGUAUCUCAUUUAAUCCUCCCAACGACCCUUGAAAUAAGUAUUAAUAUUGCCAGAUGAAGAAAGUGAGGCUCAGAGGAGUCAAGUAAUUGGCCUAAAGGCAAAUAGCUGUCAAGCUCCAGGGCUGGAAUUUGACCCCAAUUAGUGUCUCCAAAUCCAGUCCCCUUUUCAUAGUCCUGUGCUGCUGAUUGAAAUCAGGGCUUGCUACAGAACUCAGGGAUUUUUUUCCCAAUAAAAUGUGUUCUACUAAAAGUAUUUACCUUAGGACCUAUCUCCCAAAGAUGUUUCCUUGAGGGAAAACUGUGAGCGACACUGGGGUCAAUGAUGGCCAUGGAUUUCUAAGAGUAGAAGGAAAAUUUGAGUUCCUCUGGUGCAUGAACCCCUGAUGAUAACAUUCUCCCAAGGAGCCACGCAGCCUCUGAGAAUCACCAGCAGGACAGUCACUUGGGCGGCCCAGUGCACCUGUUGUGAGCUCGGCUUUCAUCUACUCUCUAGUCCUCGUUCUGUCUGCAGAAAUAUAUAGAGUUGGCCUCACUGUCUUAACCCCUUGUGGCCCCUUCCCAUGUUUGCAACAGCUAUGAGGGUCUCUCUAAGGCUUCUUUUCUCCAAGUUGAAUACUCUGAGUUCUUCAUAGGACAUGGUAUAAAAAUCUUUAUCUUUGGCCACUCUCCUGAAUGCACCUCAGUUUGUCUGUGUUCCUUUUACAGAAAGGUAUGCAGAAUUGAUCAUUUUGCUCCAUAGGAGUAGAGAAUGAUCACCUCCCUUGCUUUAGGUACCAUACUUCUCUUGGUACAACCUGCAAAGUACAUCCGAUUUUUCCAGCAUCUCAUCAGAGAAGUGUUAAGCUCUCCUUCCCCUGCUCUUUCUCCUUCCUUACUCUCCUCUAGAGCCUCCUUUUUUUGAACACAUGCUGCUAUGUGGGCAACCUGGACUUUUUGGUAAUUUCUGUGUUGGACCUAAGUCGUUUAUGCUUUGGUCACUUUGAAAAUUCCUUUUGUUAGCACUGACAUUUUGAGGAUUUUUGACUUUGGGUUUUUUGUUUGUUUGUUUGCAUUUGAUGGCCGUGACUCCCAAUUUUGUAACAUCCACAAAUGAAAACAUUUAAAAACGUCUUCUAUAGCUUUAAAUCAUUGCUGUACAAAUGGAGCAGGACGGGGCCAAAGACAGAGUCCUUUGGGAAGUCAUAGUUGUUGAGUUACCAAUCUACCACAUUUUCCCGUUGUGCCCCCCAUAUGUCUCCAUCUUGUCUAGAAGAAUAUAAGAGGCUUCACAUAUGCCAUCCCUUGUAACCUGGGCAGAUAAUACUGCUCUUCUUUAACAGCUGGGCAAACUGAGCCUCACCAGGGGCCAGUGUUGGAGGAGGGGGUCGCUUGCCCAGGACUGCCCAUUUGUUAGGAGUAGAAUUGGCAUUUGCACCCAGUUUCUCCCAUCCCAUCCACUCUGCAUGGCUGUACCCAUUAUGAAUUACUUUGCUGCGAUCCAAAGAUGCAAAUGUUACCCCAUUUUCCUGAGCUACAGGAGAGCCCUUCUGACCUCAAAGAGCCAAAUGUUAUAACAGAAUCGCACUCUCUUCCUCCCUCCCCUAGAGAACCACAGGCAAGAGUGUGGAUACCUCAGUCCUCUCUAGGCAUACAACUUACGCCCUCACCUUCCCAUCGAUGUCUCCUAGAAAGAGGUGUGAGAACAGUGUGUGAAAAAGAUUUCCUGGACAUUCUGGGCAAUUUGAGUAUGUGGGUCCUGAAGAUGAGAAACUAGUCCCAGAGAAAACAGAGGUUUUUAAGAAGCUGGAAAAAGGCUGUUUACCUAAACUCUUGGUAAUAAAGUCACACACACACACACACACACACACACACACACACACUCUAGAAACCAAACUUAGAAAGCCUUUCUCUCACUCCUCACCUUAGGACAUGUUACAAGGACUUCAUAUUUCAGAAUAAGUUACUAUUGUGAUGUUUAAAAAGAAAAGAAAAACAACAGAAAUGAUACAGGGAACUACUCCUGGGGCUCAAAUCCCACAACUGGUAUCCAGCUUGCUGGUGGGUGAGAAGCUGCGUUGGCGUGGAUGAGAUUCACAGGGGGCGGCAGCCCAGGGUGAGGUAAGACAUCCUGAGCAAGUAUCAACCUUCACAUGUCUCAGUGAUGGACUGACCUCUGGUGUAUCCCUUAAUCUUCCAGGAGGAGUCUGUUAACUCUUAGGAAGGAAUAAAAACAGGUACCAUUGCUUCACGAGAUCUUCAUGAUUCUCGGCUCUAAUUAAUAACAGAUGGUUCACAGUGAAACCAUGUACUAACAAUAUGCAUAGCUUAAAAAAACAACACGGACAUCUAGUUUUCCCCUUUCACGAAAAGAGUCAAGUCAAGAUCAAUGCAUGACACCCAAGAUAGUCAUGAGGAAAGGUUAUCUUCUUGCUUCCCCAGCAAAUGUACCCAUUUUCUACAUAAAUAGGGGCCUUUCCUCCGUGGGGACAUUCAUUCAGUACUUUCUUCCAAAGCAAAGUCACUUACGAUAAGUGAGCUCACAACACAAUUGAUUGAGGUAAACCCCAACACACUAAGUCAGUCUUUCUGGAAUGCUGAUAUACUAAUGCUACAGUGAAGAAUGAGGGAAUUAGAUGAAACUUUUAUCUUUUUUUUCUGAAAAGGAACUGCUCGACUCAAAAUUAAUUGCUAAGGGAAAUGGUUCUACAUUAUUUCCCUAAACCUACCUUGGGGAUUGAAGGACUAUGGGUAGUGGGGAGCCCCAGACAUGGAAUCUAUGUCCUAGGGCACUGUUAACACAGUGCAUAAUUUUCAGCAACUCCCAAGUGACUUUUUCUGACAUCCAUUCCAUGUAAAACAAUGGAAACCUAUUUCCAUGCUUAUUUGUGUUUCCCGGGAGCCCUGAGAUGCCAUGGUGAAGAUUAAAGGGCUAGACCCUUCUUCUUAUUCCCUCUUAUGAUUAUUCAUAAUUUUCUAAAAUCAUCUCAUUGAACAAUGCCGCCUAAAGAUGAAUUUUAGGUAUAUUUGUCUAUUCAUUUGUUCAUUCAUUCAACAAAUAUUUAUUAACCACCUCCUGCAUGCUAUGUUCUCUGCUAGGGACUAACAAGCAUAAAAAAUGAAUAAGCUUCAAUCAUCAUCCUCAAGGAGCUAAUCAUUUAGUAGAGGAGUAAGACGUACGGGGAUAGCUGUAAUACAAAGAACAGUGGAGUAAAUGCCUUAAAAAGGUUCCGACAGAAUCCUGUGGGAGGUUCACAUCUAGUCAGAAAAAACAGAGGAGGCAGCGCGAAGAUGGUAUCAUUCGACUCUGGGGAUAGAGCAGCAUAGGAUCUCAACAGAUGUGAGCGGAGGGGGCAUGCAUUCAGACCCAGAACACCACAAAAGUAAAAGCAAAGGCAUGCUCCAAGAAGAGCCAAGUAGAUCAGUUUGGCCAAAGCAUAGAAGGGAACUGGGUGAGUGUGGAGAGAGGCACAGUUUAGGAUACAUGCUGUAGGAUCUUGAAUACUGGGUUAGAGAAUUACAACUUAGCUUCGUGGGCAGCGGGGAGCCACUGAAAGUUCUUGAGCAGAGAGGUGGUGUAAGCAGAUCUUUAGUUUGGGAAGAUUCAUUUGGCUGUGGUGUGUGGGGUGGGCUGCAGCAGGGUUAGAUGAGAGUCCGGAAGACCAGUGGGGGAGCUACCGAAGUCUUUCUGGCGUGAAGGCUUGAGGACUAGAAUUGCGGUGAUGGCCGUGGAAAGGCAAAGGGGGGGUUGAGUUUCAGAAACACUGGAGGCAGACCUGGUAGGAUUUGGCAGCAGAUUACACGGGGGUGGGGGUUGACUCACACAUGACAGAAAACUGGCAAAAUGACGCCGCUCUUAAGAGGAACUGAACGCGUGCACUUGCACACUUGCACUUACGUGUUUGGGCGAGGGGGUGGCAGGAUUAGGGGGAACCUUUUUAAAAGGCAAAUCAAAUCUCAUUGCUCCCCUGCUUAGUAAUAUCCAAAUGGCCUUCCACUGCAUUUAGAAUAAAAUCCAAACUUCUUACCACUGCCCGGUGUAAGCUCCACGUGAGCUGGCCCUGAUCUGCUCCAACCUUAUCUCCCAGCACUCUGUCCUGCUUCCGUUUUAGCCACAUUGCCCACCUGGCAGUCCCUCAAAUGUACCAAGGUCAUUUCUGCCUCAGGGCCUUUGCAUUUAAUAUACACUCUGCCCACAACACUCUGCCCUCAGAUAUUCACCUACCUGGCCCUUUCUUGCCAGUCAGGACUCAGCUUAAAUGUCACCUCCUAGAAGAGGCCUUUCCUACCCAACCCAUUACCAUACCCUUUGCCCACAGCCACCCUUUAUCACAUCAUCCUGCUUUUUAUUCUUCACGGCAUUUACCAUAAUCCGAAAUGCUCUUAUUUAUUUGUCCCCUUUGUUUGUGUCUGUUCCCCUCUACCAAAAGCAAGCUCUAGGAGUGCGUCUUGUUCGUAGCCAUAGUCUAUAAAACCAAGCCUGGCACAUAUGAGGUGUUUCAUGAAUAGUUGUCAAGUGAAUGAACGAAUGAGAAUCUGUUCUUCCGGGGGUAUGUUGGCUUUUUAUGCAGGUGUCACAUUCACGUAGAGAUGGACAACGAGGACUAGGGUAUGUGGGGUUAGAGCUCAAGAGAGGACCAUGUUUGCUAUUUGUCUCACAGGAGUUGGAAAGUCAGGAAAAGUCAGCUCCUGGGCCACUUUGAGCAAAGGCAUCUUUUCACUGCUUCUGCCUUAAUCACUGAUGCUAAACUUGUAGUCUCCAACUCAACCUGUGGUGUCCAAGUGAGUGUCUGUUGCCCUCCAGAGAUUGUCUACUUGGUAGACUUUAGCAAAAAUGCUACCUUGUCUGAAGUAGUUUUUGAAAUUCCUGUUUUAGAACUGCAGACAGUCUGCAGCAUCUCAAUAAUAUUGUGAAAUAUUAAUAACUACUAUUCACUAAGCACUUGUGCCAGGCACUGAUACUAAGUAUUCUCAGAAAUUAGUUCACUAAGUCCACCUCAAAACCUUGUAAGGCAGGUAAAAAGAUUCCCCAGUUUUGCAUUGAGGAAACCGAGACCCAGAAACGUAAAUCCCAUGAGCAAUGUCAGAUGUGAGGUUCACAUGGAGUCUGGGGGACUCCCAAGCCUGCAUGCUUACCUGCUGUACAGCGUCCUCUGUGAUGAGGUGUGGGAGGGCAGGCAGGGGGUGGGUGUCUUCCUCGUUUUUGAACGUGAAUGUGACUUUUAUAAACAGCCAGGAGCUGUAGCAUAGAAUCCUGGUUAUACCACUCAAUAGGUGUGUGAUCUCAGACUAGGAACUUUCCCAAUAAUACAAUCCUGCUGAGAUGCUCCUCAUAGAAGUGUUCUGUCAACUCUAAUCUGCAAAAUGCCUGGCACAUAGUGGGACUUCAUUUUGUACUCCUUUCUCUCUUAUAAGACACACCACUAACUCUUGGUUUUUUCAGGGUUUGAUUAUCUAGAUGGUAGAUCACCGAGUCCCUUGCUGUCUUCCCAUCUUUCUUAUUCUUAUGUUUAGAAGGAUUAUAUAAUUUGUUUCCACUUCUGUUGGUGAAGUUAGGUGAGAGGAAGGAUUGGAGGUUGUACUGUCUGAGAAAGGAACUGGAGAAAAUGCGGUCUGAAGUGAUGGCUUCAGAUUUCUACUUCAUUUUUGUUUGAAGCCUGUGACCUUGGGUAAGCAUCCGGGUCUCAAUGUCCUCAUCUGUAAAAUGAGAUCAUAUGACUUGUCUUCUACAUCACAGAGUUAUUGUGAGGAUCAAAUUAUAGCCAUAAAAGAACUUGGGAGAGCAUAGAGUUAUAAACAAUUGUAAGAUAUCGUUAUCAUUGCCAUCCUUACAAAAUGAGAGUCCAUCCUUCUUUUCAGAGGUCUAAUACAAUAACAGUGCUUGCUCUGUCUGUAAAUUGCCUAAAUUAAACUCAUGCCUUUCUUUAUUCUUUAACUGAAACAAUUCCCAAAUCACUCCCUUAAUCUUUUAUCUUUAUACUUAAAGUUCUUGCUUACAAUGCAGUUGAUAUCUGCCCUAUCCAAUAUGGUGGCCAAUAUCCACAUGUAGCCAGUUACAUUGAAAUUAAGUAGAAUUAAAUAAAGUUUAAAACUCAGUUCUUCCAUUACCCUGGCCUCAUUUCAAGAAUUUAGGAGCCACAUGUAGCUAAUGACCACCAUUUUGGACAGUAUCACUAUAGAACAUUUCCAGCCUUGCAGGAAGUUCUGUUGAACAGCACCAUUGUUGAUUUUCCUGAGUUGCAUUUUUCCAUGCUUUCUCAUAACUCUAUAGCCACAAUAAAACCAAGCUAGUUGUUCUUCAGAUGAGGACAUUGAAACCUAAUGUAUUUGCCAACGCCUAUAUGAAGAAUAUCAAGAAUCGUAAGCCAUCACCUACUCCAACUUUCUAAUUUUACACACGAGACAAUUGAAGCCCAAAGAGGUGAGAUCACUUGCUCCAGCCCAUGCAACUCUUCAGUGGAUUUCCACUGCUCUUUACACAGUGUAACUGUGGACACAUGAGUAAUAGAAUAGGCUGAUAUUCCUUUUGCAGGGCUGCUAAUACCAUCCAUCUCAGAAGAAGAUAUGCCUGAGACAGAAUUUACAAGUAGCUUGCUAUUGUCGUUCAGCAUCCUUCUCUUGCCUCGCUAAGUGAACCCCCACUCGGUCACAGUGAAGAUGUGCUGAAAGCUGGAGAGCAUGCCCCUUCCAUGCUGUCUCUAAGUUACAAGUGCCCUAGAAAAUGGCUGCCCUGCAGACCGGAGUAUUCCAUGAUGCAGAAUUUGAAUCAAUUCCCCAGACCAGCUCAAAUUACUGAGAUUGGCUUCACUUCAUCUUUGCACUUAUUUAAAUCAUGAAAUAUUGAUCUUUAAGCAAACUGCUAGGGAAUUUAGAAUGGGGAUUGUUAUUCCCCAGGCUUACACGCAAUAUGGAUGUAAAAUGCUAAAUAGCGCUUGGUACCUAGUAGGUGCCCAAUAGAUGUUUAAUUCCAUCCCUCCAGCUCCACCCAUUUCCACCCCGUCAUCUCACCAGCUGCCAGCCCUGUCCUAGAUAACCAACACAAUACUUGUAACUCCCAGUUUGCUAGAACCCCAAACAACUGUUUUUUAAGUCUUAUCGCUCUCAUUAACCUUCAGAGAGAGACUACAACCAGUGUAUUAACAAUUUGUAAACAUAUGGGGGGAAGGGGGCACAUGUUUUUUUAAUUUAUUGUCAAGACAAAGGAUCUGAUUGGUUUAAAGCAUUUCUAGAGGCAACAGGGAGUUGGCAUUUCUACAACCAACUUCCAAUUGGAAGUAGGAAGUGUGCCAGAAAAUUUGCACUGUGUGGUUGCUUUAUCCCUCCGUAUAUGUGUGUGGACCAAGCAAUAUCAUUAAUAAGUUUAGGAAGAGAAUUCUACCCUGGCCUGCUUUUCACGGUUAUAGAUACCUUAUUUCCAAAAUAUUCUAAUUGAGUUGACAUUUCACACACAUUUGGUAUAUGCCUAAGGGAAAUUUAGGAGGGAAAAACAAAAUGGAACCUGUUCAUUUAUUUCUGAGUCAAGUAAAAGCAAGGAGAAAAUAUUUCAUUUUGAAAAACCAAAUAUCCUCAACAAUUAAUGAUAUAAAAAUCAGUAUUUUCCUAAAGCAUCAAACUUGGCAUGUAACUGAGCCUCAGUGGGGAAUAAUGCCUAACUCUGUUAGAGGAGAAUAUGGGUGGAAAUAAUGAGACCGUAAGAAGUGAAAGCAAGUAGUGUUCCUGCAUAAUGAAGCCUAAAUCCGUUCUUGUCCUAGGACCACCCCCCCCCCCCCCCCAUCUCAGGAACCAAUCUCUCCUUCCUCCUAAGGCAGAGAUCCCCCUAUCUACUUUGAGGGUGGCUUUGCUAGUGACCCAGCAGGUCUGACUGCUUUUCCACUCUCUAUUUCAAAUUUUAUGUUACAUCUCAGCUCUAAUAAUUGCACUUUCAAAUUGCACACAACCUACUCUGCAACGCGGUUGCACACACGAACACUAGCAAACCCCUUAUACUCCCCUCCACGGAGCAGGCUUCAUCCUCCCAGGAAUGGAAGCCUUUGCCUAUGGAGCUUUAGAUAUGCUAACGAGCCCACCUACCUCUGGAGCCAAUGCCUUAUCUUUUUAGACGUCCAAGGCACCCUCUCAUUCCAAGAAGGUUCUAGUCAUGCUGCUUCUCGCCAAUAGCGCUCUGUCAUAGGAUUGAAGUGUUUUAGGGCACAACUGUGAUCGAACGAGACUUUAAAACCCGACAGAGCAAAUUCUUCGUAACAAUGGCCUGUUGACACACACCACACAGAAUGCUGGACUUCGUGGCACUGGGAAGUUUCAGAGACGAGAUACCAUUUGGUCCAACUUGUAACAAUGCUUAAAUCCCUUCUCUCAGUCAUUUCCUACCUGGGCAGUGCUGAACCAGAAAGAUGAAAAAGAAGCAAAACCAAGCAACUUUCUUAGUCAUUUUACUUGGAUCCAAACAGAACAAUUAGUAAUCGUUGGUGAUUUCUUAUACCCUUACUUGAGCCUUUCACUUUUUUUUUCAAGUACAAGAAAGAUGAGAUGAAAAAAGGAGCACAAAUUCAGGCAACCUGUUAACAAUCUUCUUUUACCUGCUUCCUUCCUUCCCACAGAUCUUCCUAAAAGACUUAGUAAAUGAAAUCAUUAGACUUGAGGACAUCUUUGAAGAAAAGCCUCUUUCUGUCUAGGCCCAGAUCAGAGGGCAGUUUAAGAGAGGAUGCAUUUCUUUAUGUGUGUCCUUGUGCACGUGUUUCCAUUUUCUAUUUUUUUUAAAGUUUUAUUUGCUUAUUUAUUUACUUACUUAUUUAAUUUAUUUAUUUUUAAGUAAUCUCUACACCCAACGUGGGGCUCGAACUCACAACCCUAAGAUGAAGAGUUAUGUGCUCUUCUGACUGAGCCAGCCAGGGGCUCCCCCCGCCCCCACCAUAGCUCUCUUGGUCAUCUGUCCUGUCUCCCUCACCAUUCUCAUUAUUCAUUUACUUAUUCAAUCAUUCCCUGAGUACCCAACACUGUGUCAGGGGCUAAGGAUUCCUAGAAAUCAUAAGAUAAAUGCCCUCCCUACAGGAAGCAUACUGUGUUGUACAGUGAUAAAUAAAUAGCCCUAUAUAAAGUGGCAAAAAAAAAUAUUAAUAGGAGCCGAGAGGAGGGAAGGUGAUGACUGGGCAGCUGGGGGAGGUAGGGGAGGAGAAAUUCUUAUAGGUCUAGAGGAGUCUUCUGGGUGAACAAAUGGGGAAGAGAGGCAAGUAGAAGAAAGGCACCCAGUAAGAGGGAACAGAAUAUGCAAGAUCGUGGAGCCAUUUGAGACCCAAGUCUUCUUAGUAAAUAACUACUUUCUUAAGGAGGAUUCUUUUUGGAGAAAGUAGAAGGACAUGGGCAGGGGGUUAGUGGAGGAAAAAGUCUGUCACAUGAUAAGGAAUUUGAACUUUAUCCUAUAAGGUCAUUCUGACAGUACUUUGGAAUAGGACAAGACUGGGGACAGAGAUAUCAACCAGUAGACUGUCACAGGGAAACAGGAAAGAGGUGGUGAGGGUUGCUGGUAGGUAGAAUGAGGAGGAAGGGGCAUAUUUAAAACAUAUCGGAGGGGCGCCUGGGUGGCUCAGUAGGUUAAGCGUCCGACUUUGGCUCAGGUCACGAUCUCAUGGUCCGUGAGUUCGAGUCCCGUGUCGGGCUCUGUGCUGACAGCUCAGAGCCUGGGGCCUGCUUCGGAUUCUGUGUCUCCCUCUCUCUCUCUGCUCCUCCCCUGUUCAUGCUCUGUCUCCGUCUGUCUCAAAAAUAAACAUUAAAAAAAUAAAUAAAACAUAUCGGAGGUAGAAUCUGCAAGAUAGUGUGGGAAUAAGGAGUGGAAAGGGUCUAGGAGAUGCUGUUUUCUGGUUCAGGCACUUCGGCAUUAAAGGUGUCACUUUCUGAACAAAAAGAACAAAUAGAGGUUAAAAAAGGAGGAUUGACCACAGGAGAUUAGUUCUGUUUAUGUUGAAUCUGAAGACUCUGUGGGACUCUAUGGGCAUGGUGAUGCCUAACGGGGCUAGUGUUUGGAAAAAUCCAGUUAGAGCUCAGCUCAUUUCAGCAAACAGUUAUGGUGUGCUUUCUGUGUGCUCCCCAGGAUGUCCGGGUUAGAGAUAUUGGUGUGAGACCCAGCUGUUUGUAAGUGGCAAUUGAAAUUAUGCACAAUCACCCAGGAAGGGCACGUUGGGAAAAAAGACAGGUCUUGGGAUGGAAUGGUGGGGAUCCCUGAUCCCUAAUGAGAAGGGAGAGGAGAGCUGAGGAAAAGUAGGGAGAAUGAGAAGUAGAGAGGUGGUAUCGUGGAAGCCACGUCAGGGAGAGAAACGCACGAGGCACGGAGGAGUCAACGGUGCAAAUCCACGGGCAGACAAGGUGUGGGCUGGAAAGCGCUUUUUCCAUUUGACAGCUGGAAGCCAUUUGUGAUGUAGGGGGAAGCAGUUUGUCUGAAGUGGGGCAGGCAGGGGAUUUGCAUCCUCAUCGUCUUUGGAGUAGGGGUUGUGUUUUCAAGUUCUUAUAUAUUUAUACUCUCUACCAUUUGCUGCUCUUUGUCACGCUAUCCCUUGGCCCAUCCCCGCUCCAUAAUAUAACAUUAUUGACUGAUUUCUCUCCCUAAUUCCAGACACAUUCUCAACUGCCCACAGACACUUCGAUGGCCUUCCAUGGGCACCUCGAACAAAACAAAACACAUUUGCUUUCAUCUAAAAAGCCUGAAUCUCCUCCAAUAUUCCCUGUCCUAGUUAAAUUAUACCACCUUCCAUCCAGUCCCUUAAGCUGGAUACCUUGGCCUCAUUGAAUUCCUUCUCUCCCUUACCUUCUACGUCCAAAUGGUCAUGAGGAUCUGUUGACUCCACCUCAAAAAUGUCUCCAAAUUCAGCAUUUUCUUUCUCCACUGAGCACCAUGUCCAUACUCCUUUUCGGACUUCUUUCAUUCUGUUAUAAUUUUGCAUAUGUGCAUGUUUCCUCCUUCAAAUCCAGAGAUCCUUGAGAAUAAGACCGUUCCCUUAUUUAAUCUUAUAUCCCUACGCCUAGUACAGUGCCUGGCACCCGACUGACUCUCCACACAUACCGGAUGAGUGAAUGAAUAAGAUCUUUUCAUAUGUGACGUUCGCCUUCCUGUCUAAAAGCUUAUGGAACCAUUUCUCUGCCUGUGGUUCUGACCUUUGUGCUCUCUGAUCUGCCCACCAACCUACCUGCUUCACUUUAGCUCUAGUCGGGUGACACGUGACCUUUGCCUGAGGAAGAUCAGAUGCGUUAAACCAAGCAGUUAUAAAUUUGUCCCUCUCCAGUCCUCCAAUAGGGGAAAACAUUUCUCAGAGAAGAAAAAUGGUAGACAACCCGGUCUUUAGGGGUGGAGAAGUGAGUGUUUACCAGAGAGUAAUUACUCCUUCAUUGCAGGGCUACUAACUUCUCAAAGCUACCCUCAUGUCAGACUCAGAAUAGGAAUCCAGUAAGUGCCAGCUGAACAAAUGAAUAAAUGAAUGAGCCGAAGCUUGAAUGCAGAGAAGGAAUGUGAAUCAGACCCCCAACUUUAUUUUUUUUUUAUUUUUUUGUGUUAAAUUUUUGUAAUAUUUAUUUAUUUUAAAGGAGAGAGAGACAGAGGGCAAGCAGGGGAGGGGCAGAGAGAGAGGCACACACACAUAGAAUCUGAAGCAGGCUUCAGGAUCUGAGCUGUCAGCACAGAACCCAGUGCAGGGGCCUGAACUCACCAACUGUGAGAUCAUGACCUGAGCUGAAGUCCGACUGAGCCACCCAGAUGCCCCACAGACCCCCAACUUUAAACAAGAACCACUUUCAUGCCUGCAGGAAAUAUUAGCUUUAAGGAAGACCCAUUUUAAAGGUGGGCAUGAUGAUGAGGUCCUUACUAGGGGCAUUCUAGCCCUUCAGCCCCCCAAAUGUGUCAUCAUGUUCUUUUUUUUUUUUUUUUUUUUUUUUUUUUUUUUUUUCAACAUUUAUUUAUUUUGGGGACAGAGAGAGACAGAGCAUGAACGGGGGAGGGGCAGAGAGAGAGGGAGACACAGAAUCAGAAACAGGCUCCAGGCUCUGAGCCAUCAGCCCAGAGCCUGACGCGGGGCUCGAACUCACGGACCGCGAGAUCGUGACCUGGCUGAAGUCGGACGCUUAACCGACUGCGCCACCCAGGUGCCCCAUCAUGUUCUUUUUUAACAAAUACUUGGCGUGACACUGGUGAUAGUUUCGGGGACAGGCAUAUUCCUUAAAGGGGACUGGACGGACAUAUACACAGCCUUGAAGCAACUGGCCCCCUUUGGGGCUCAUCCUGGCCAGAUGGGGUAAAAGAACAGGCAGGACAUGAACUCCCUGAUAUCUCUGCCUCAGGUGACUUCCCAGUAGCUCUGUCAUUUGCAGGAGUCAGUCCUGGGCUGCUCAGAGCUUCAUAUCCACUGGGUCAUUUCUGAUGCCUAUAAAUGGGAAGCCUUGUUUUUUGGCAACUUCAUAGACUUUUUCCCCCUAAAGCAACAAAUGUACAACGUUUUUGUUUUUCUUUUGCCUCAGAUGAGAAGAGCUGGUAUGUUUUCUCAGGCAAAUAUCCCAACAUGCUGUCUUCAGAGGAGCAUAGUUGUGUGCACGCGGGCACGUUGUGCGAGCUUUCUGGGCCACAAUUUUCUCAUCUGUCAAACGAAGGGGUUGGUUGACUUACCCACGUUCUCCCUUAGACCUAGUGUGCUGUGAUUUGAGGAUUCAUAAUAUUUCCCUCACCACCCUCACCUCUCUGUCUGGCACGUCCUGGAAGCACAGGAAACUGAAUUAUCUCAGCUAUAUUAAGGAAACAAACCUGACAUAUUGAAACUCUGUAUUCAUACAAAAGACAAGAAGAGAAUCAGGAGAAUGGCACCACGAUCCUUCUUAUAAAAGGUGUCUUCAUUUUGCGAGAGCAUUUAUUUAUUCAUUAAUAGAUGUGUUCAUUUUUCAUCCUCUUAGAUUAAUCACCGGCUGGUUUACUAUUAUUAUUAUUAUUAUUAUUAUUAUUAUUAUUUACUGUUGCUGUUCUCUUCUUCUGGAAGCUCCACACCCACCCGAGGCUCAAAUACACACAACCCUGAGAUCAAGAGCCGCGUGCCCUGGCCACUGAGCCAGCCAGGUGUCCCAUUCACCUGUUCGUUUCUAAGGCCAGUGCUAAGAGACAGGAUCCUGCUCUGUUUCAGGAUUCUUUAUAAGUGUGCUCUUGUAAUAUGUCACACUUGGGUUCCCUGGGACCAAGGGCCUCUCCCUGAGUCCCUCACUUGUCACGGCUGCCCAUGCUCUUAGCCAGGGUAAGGAACCAAUCCUUGUGACCCAUAGCAAAUGAGCGAGGAAUCCUUAGUUCCUAUAGGUGCUCAUUCACAUAAAUCCAUCUCUAGCAAAGGAAGGAAUGGAGGUCAGGAAUACCACAUGUAUGUUAUCUGCUGCUUAGGUCCAAAGCUCUAGAGCCACCCUGCUGGCUGAGCAGUCAGAACCAAUCCCUGGCAGAGACAGAUUGGUACUUGGUCUCAGGGAAGCGGCCUGCACAUUCCCCAUCCACCAGGCUGUACACACCGGGCCCACUCAGGUGCCCCUGAGGACACAGUGGGUCACAAACAUUCCUAAGCGUAUCCCACUACAAGGAGAGACAAUCAGUGGGUGAGAGGUAGUCACUCACCGUUACAUGACAUUUGCAGGGUGCGAUCAGUUGUGGUCCUCAUGGUCUCUUUUGGCCCUUACCGCUCGGACGUAAGGAGGAUUGCUCUCAUUAUCCCUGUUUUACAGGGGAAGAAAGUGAGGCUGCUGGUUCAAGACCUGAGUUUUCUGAUUCCAAGUCCAUUAUUCCUUUUCUCCUUUGCCUUCUGAUGCCCCAACCCUGCAGGUGAGGAACGAAGCUGACAGCACCCCCCGGGGCAGAGUCCUGCAGACAGAGGCAAGGGUAGUUCUGUUUGUCAGUCUCCUAAGAGUCAGCUGCGGACAGAGACCCCCUCUUCCAUCAAAGCCAGGCCUCCGGGUUGGGAGGGGCUCAGUGAUCUGGGGCAUUCAGACAGGGUUUACCCCCCUGCCCCUUCCCAGGUGACACUGAGGUCCCUGCUUCCUCCUCAGCAGGUGAGAAAUCCCCUUCAUCCCUGCAUCCCACUCCUGUUCCCCUCCCCCCAGAGGAAGUAUAGCCACACCUCUGCAGGUUGAGGACGUGCCACAGGAAGGACGUUCCAAAGGCAAGGCACCUUCUUAGUUCCUGGGUUUUGCACCCAAACUCCUGCAUUAACCCAGUACUCUAGUCGUUGGCUCCACAUACAUUUACUAAGCAUCUACUAAAUUGAGGCCCUGUUCUGAGUACUAGAGGUGAAACACCGUACAAAACCACUCUCCUCCUAGAGUUUACAUUCCAGCGGGACACAGGCCAGAGGCCAGGUUGCCACCAAGGCUUUUGCUGCAGAGGCUCCUAAGAGUCAGGCAACCAAUGUGUUUCCAUUCUAGACUUUUCUAGCAUCAAUAGAAAUCACUUCCGGGAUAGGCUGCAGCUUAGGUGGCUCAGGAAAUUCCUGACCCGCACCGACCACAGGUGACCAGCCAACACUUUGACCCCAUUAACACCUUUCUAGAAGAAAAAGUCCACAGGUUGAAGGUUUCAACCCUCUGUAAUACUUAAGAACAGAGGUUUGGGCUUCGUCUAUUGGUGUUUGUUUUCCCCUGGUAGAGCAUUCCAGCAAAGAAAAUCUGUGUGUAUGUGUACCCACAUAUUUGUGGAGUCUUUUAUUAGACUCUGAAGAUAAGAGACAACUAGAGAAUCCCUAGCAUUUUUUUCUCAGAAGAAAAAAAAAGAAACAACAAACUAAAACUCAAGUGCUAGCACUCAGAUAAGAUAGUGUAAAGCCUUUCCACAAAUGGAUGCAAGUGAGUUCUGUGGUGAAAAGAGUUAAAAUAUGUAAUUCUGAUAGGGCAGAUGUCUAUCACAAUAUAGGAAUUCUAAGGCAAGUGGUCUAAUGAAUAUGCUUGUCAGGGGGUUUGUGUUGGGGGGGGCAUCUCAUUUUCCAUAGGGUGGAGCGUGUAUUAGACACGCAGUAAAGACUCCUUAGCUAUUGAUGGUUGCUGGCUAAGAACAAGGUUGAGAGGCUCACCCCUCGGGACAGAACCAGAAAUUCUUAGCCAGAAAUGACCUUGGAGAUGCCAAAUGGGAAGGGAGAAUAAGGCAAUUCAGUGUAACAUCUAAUAAGAGGGUACAUGCUGGAGUGAGACCUGGGUUCAAUUCCUGACCUUGUCCUUUGAUAGCAGUGAGGGUUGUUGUAUUGUCAUUUGUUUGUUUCUGUUUUUGGAAAUCAUUUAUUCCUUUUUUUUUUUCAAAAAAAAUUUUUAGUGUUUAUUUAUUUAUUUUGGGAGACAGAGCAAGCAGAGAGAGAGCGUGACAGAGAGAGAGAGAGAGAGAGAGAGAAUCCCGAGCAGUCUCUGCAAUGUCAGCCCAGAGCCUGACGUGGGGCUCAAUCCCAUGAACCGCCAAAUCAAGAGUCGGAUGUUCAACAAACUGAGCCACCCAGGUACCCCUGGAAAUUAUUGAUUUAGGUCUCAGUUCCCUCAUCUCUAAAAUGGGGGCAUAUUGUAUAAAGGUUAAGUCUGAAAAUUCACGUGACCUGGUCCAGUGCAUACAGCGAAUGUCAUUUUUCUGGAAGAAGAAGUGAUUUGCUCAAGUCGCACAGCUAGUUAGAGACAAACCUGAAAAUAACAACAGUCCCUAACUCCCUCUCAUGUGCUUUUUUCCCACUACCCCUACACUAGGCCAGAAAAGAGAAGCAGAACAGGUAAAAUGUAGGCUGAGUUCAGAAGUGAGUAUGACGGUGCCUUGAAGAAAAAAAAAAUCCCCACUGCUUACUGAGGGCUGCUGUGUGCCAAGUACGUAUCCUGCAUUCCACGUGUGUUAUCUUACUAAUCUUUGCAGAGACACUACAUGGCAUUAUCAUUAUCCGUGUACUAACGACACAGAACUACAGCUUAGGUGGAAUAAAUAAUCUACCCAAACCCAGAUCUGUCUGCCUGACCUCCAAACCUGUGCCUUACUCUUAGCCGUGAAGACUGUGGUAAGAAUAUUGAGGCAUUUUAAACAUCAGCGCAAGGCAGACAGGCCCCGCCAGGCUGCAGGUGGAUCCUCCCUUUACUGCUGUCACUGCUUUCGGUGGCCACCUUUCGUGAGACUGUGAUUGUCAUUUGUGGGAGGACACAGUGGGUUUGAGUGGCCGCUGUUUUUAUAUUAUUCGUUUGACUCAUAGGAUCUGUAUAGACAAAUGGAGAUCCUACUGCCAUCUGGGACCAGAAUUCCGGAGAAACAAGCUAUCCGUGCACCUUGAUGACAAGGGAUGGUGUUGUAUCUCCAGUGUGAAAUGCCAAAUAGUCCAGGAAUGAUAAAAUCACCCUAGUUUUUCUUAUGAACUCCUAGAAGUCAUCUUUGUUGGUAUAAAUGAGAUCAUUUAGCCUAAUUAGUUCCAAGCUUAAUUAGCAGUAAUUAUCCCAACAUGGGAGUAAUAUCCAAGCAGGAAGUGCCGAGUCCUCGAUUAGAUAGAUCUCUAAUUGGUGUUACAAUAUUGUAAUUAAAGCGUGUUUGUACGCCUCUGCCGCAGCACGCGAUUUGUUUCAUGUCUGAUUAAACAGGGAGACCCAGCAGCCUUUGAGGGGGCCAGGACUCUGGAUCUGACUCCUAUAACAUGUUAACCCUGUGACAAAAAAAUAAUAGGGCCCCCCUCAUGGUCAUGGUGACUGUGCAGCCCUGAGCCGAAGGCCUUCCUGCGAAGAGGACGUGUGCUUUGUCUCCCUGCCGCGUCCACUGCCCUGCAGUGUGUGCAGGAGAACAGAAGCAUUUAGUAGAAGGACCAUUUUGUAAGUUGUAUACUUUUGGGGGCCGCCUCAUAUGUAACCCAGAGGAGACGCUGCAAAAAGAGCAAACAAUAACAGCUAUCAUUUAUUGAGCAUUUACUAUGUGCCCCAAACUCCUAAAUGCUUUAAAUACCAGACGUAUUAAGUCUUCAGAGUGAACCUCUGAGAUAACUACCACGAUCCCUGUGUUACACGCAAACACCUGAAGAUGAGAUGAGCUUAAUUACAAUUAGCUUCAGCUAACUCCGAGGUCACGGCCUCAGGUCUCAGCUUGAACCAUCAAUCACCCCUCUAGAAGGCUCCCUCCGACCCGAGACCAGGUUCCCUCCCCUGCCGAGCUCCUUGUAGUUUUCCUCACUCGCUGUAUUAUAAUUUUAUGUCCCUCUGCCCCUGCUCUGUGCCCAGUGCCCAGCACCUGGCGACGAGCCAGGACCGGACAGGUGUUUGACAAACAGGAGUUAAAUAAAUUGUCAGGAUGGUAAGUUGGGUGAUUCGAACUCAGCUCUGCGUGCUGGCGUAGACUGUUUUCCACUGCAUUAUGCUUCUUUUUCUCGUGUUUAAAAUUCUGGGGGCUCCUGGGUGGCUCAGUCGGUUAAGUGUGGUCUCUUGAUUUUGGCUCAGAUCAUGAUCUCAUGGUUCACGAAUUCAAGCCCCACGUAGGGCUCUGUGCUUACCUGCGGAGCCUGCUUGGGUUUCUCUCCUCUCUCUCUCUCUCUCUCUCUCUCUGCCUCUCCCUGCUCGUGUUUUCUCUCUCUCUCUCUCUCUCUCUCUCAAAAUAAAUAAACCAACUUAAAAAAAUAAAAUUCUGAAAUUAAGCUUCCAGGUAGUACACAUACAAUGAAUAUUUAUUUGGGCAAGGGAUCAGGGAAUAGAUUUUCUUUCCUCUCAUUUCAAAAUGCUGUAUUACAAUUUUGCAAUAGAUCCCUUAACCAUUCACCAUAUUUAUCUAUUUAAUGCUUCAACUUAUGGUACAAUGUAGAGAUUUUUGUCCAUACUCACAAAAUCGAUAAUUGGAUCUAAUAAGCACAAGAGAAUUUGAGUAAACCAGAUAGAAUUUAUGUGCAUUUAUAUAUCAUUGGAUUCUGAAAAGUUUUAAAAAUGUGGCGAGCACUUUCAGAAUCUGUAUUUCAGUGAUUGCCAGCUAUGGUUUUGGCAUAUCCCAAGAAUGUGUAGUUAUUUCGAAUGGCAACACAAAAUUCUCAUGAAUUAUUAUUUUUUCGAAUUCCAGAAUAACUAACAUACAGUGUUAUAUUAGUUUCAGGUGCACAACAUAGUGAUUCAGCAGUUCUGUACAUUACUCAGUGAUCGUCAUGAUAAAUGUCCUCUUCUUCCCCAUCACCUGUUUCUCCCAUCCCCUCAUCCACCUCCCCUCUGGUAACUAUCAAUUUGUUCUCAAUAUUUAAGAGUCUGGUUUUUUGUUUGUCUUUUUUUUUCUUUGUUUGUUUUGGUUCUUAAAUUCCACAUAUGAGUAAAUCAUAUGGUAUUUGUCUUUCUCCGACUGGCUUAUUUUGCUUAGCAUUAUACUCUCUAGCUCCAUCCAUGUUGUUGCAAGUGGCAAGAUUUCAUUCUUUUUUAUGGCUGGAUAAUAUUCCAUCAUAUCUAUAUACCAUAUCUUCUUUAUCCAUUCAUCUAUCGAUGGACACAUGGGUUGCUUCCCUAUCUUGGCUGUUGUAAAUAAUGCUGUAAUAAACAUAGGGGUGCAUAUAUCUUUUUGAUUUAAGUGUUUUCAUAUUCUUGGGGUAAAUACCUGGUAGUGGAAUUACUGGAUCAUAUGGUAUUUCUAUUUUUAACUUUUGAGGAACCUCCAUACCAUUUUCCACAGUGGCUGCACCAAUUUGCAUUCCCACCAACAGUGCACGAGUUUUCCUUUUUCUCCACAUCCUUAUCAACACUUGUUGUUUCUUGUGGUUUUGAUGUUAGCCAUUCUGACAGGUGUGAGGUGAUAUCUGAUUGUGGUUUUGAUUUGCAUUUCUCAAGAUUCUCAGGAAUUAAAAAAAAAUUAACUUUGCUGCCGGGGUGCCUGGUUGGCUCAGUUGUUAGAGCAUGUGACUAUUGAGAUCUCGGGGCUGUGAGUUCAAGCCCCAUGUUGGGCAUAGAGUUUACUACAAAUAAAUAAAUAAAAUAAAUAGACCCUAAGGUGCAACUUUUAAAAAAUGUAACUUUGCUGGAUGUUUAAAAGAAAGUGUGACAACCUUUAAAACAAAGGAUGCAUUGUAGAGGAAUAAGCAGGCUAGAUCGGAGUGGAGCCAACACCUUUAAAACUUUGGAAACCAGCUGCUAUUUAAUCUUGGUCACUGGUGAAACAUAUUUAGGGAUUAAGAAGCUCAACAGAAAUAUUUGUUUAUUCAUUAAAAUUUUUUUAUGCAAAUAACUUUUUUUUUUUUUUGCAAACGAGUAGAUGAUACACAAAGUAUAAAAUUCACAAAGUGUUUAAGUGAAAAGGUCUCCUUCCACCUUACCCCAUUCCCCCCCCCCCUCGUCACUUCAGAGGUGGCCAGAUUUGCAUAUACCUUUCUGGAGAUAUUCUAUGCAUAUGCAGAUAUAUCCAUUUUGAAUUUUUUUUUUCAAUGUUUAUUUAUUUUUGGGACAGAGAGAGACAGAGCAUGAAUGGGGGAGGGGCAGAGAGAGAGAGGGAGACACAGAAUCGGAAACAGGCUCCAGGCUCUGAGCCAUCAGCCCAGAGCCUGAUGCGGGGCUCGAACCCACGGACCGCGAGAUCGUGACCUGGCUGAAGUCGGACGCUUAACCGACUACGCCACCCAGGCGCCCCAAGAUAUAUCCAUUUUGAAAGGCAUUAUUUCUUGACCCAACUCCAUAGCACACACUGAAUCAUAACAGUGAAUUAGUUCACUUCCUAGUCUAGGCCAAGACAGGAAGUGAGAAUGAGACAUUCAGUACAUAGAAACCAAAAGCACAAAGCUCUGUGAGUCUAUUUUUAAACAAAACUACUACUAAACAUCGUGGCGAUGUAUUGAAAUUUGAAUGGCACUAAUGGUACUGGGGCUAAUGAAUGAGAAAUGCUUCUUGACUUAUGACAAUAAUAACACCAUCACGUGUGAGUCCUGAAUCUUCCUGGGUUUUUCUGUUCUGACUGACUCUUAGGAUGAUGUUUCUACAGGGCUGUUCAUUGAGUACCGGCAUAAUGAGGCGGAGGUGAUGGGUUCCGGUCUCUGUUAGCAACUUAACUUGCUGCUGGUCUCUGUCACUAAAGGAGUUAGGUGAGAAAGUGAGGAUGAAUUCAUGCAAAUCUAGUCCCACCAAGAGAGAAAAGUCUCUUUUAUAUAAAGGACAUCAUCAUUACAUUAUUUUGUGUGGACAGGGCUUGGUUUAUUAUCUUGGAUGACUAUUUUAGUGCAAGAAUAAUUCACUAAGCUUCCUGUAGUAUUGCACUAAUAUUUGGGGCUUUUUUUUUUUUUUUUGGCUUAUAAAUAACUAGGAAUGAUCUAACCAUGAUAUGAAAAUAAUUGGAUUUGCAUUUAUACAAGUAACAGGUAAACCAGGUUAAAAUUGUUACGGUCCGAGUAUCUUAUGAUACCCAAGGAGUACACUAGGCAAGGUCGUCAUCAGCUUGUUAUAGUUUAUAUUUAGAAUUCAUUGAGCCCUACGCAUACAGGCUUUGUAGAAAACCUGGUGCCCUGGGAACUGAUUAUUUAUCAUCUCAUUUUGUUUAUCAAAGACUUGCCUAGAGUCCCUGUGGUUUUUCUUUUUCACGAAGGGCUCACCUUGGAUGGAGAUAGACUCUGAUGCUUCUUUUACGGCUGUGGAAAUCUCUCUUGACUCUGAGUAGACUGUUUUCUUCUGAAUGUGCCUUUGGCAAACAAAAAGACCAAUGCGAUAGAAUGUUCUGGAAACAUCACCCAGGACCACUGUAACCUUUUGCCUUUAUUUUAAAUAUUCUGCUCCAUUAUGCUUAUAAAUGCACUCGUAUUUUGUGUCCCAAUUUUUGGCUUGGACAAUAUAGCCACUGGAACUGGAACCAAGUGGCUCUAGUUUGGGGGCCGACCCUUUUUGCUUUCCUUGGUGGAAAAAUAAGUUUUUGCUUUGUUUCUCUGGACCUUGAUCUUUUCAUUUGUAAUGAGAUGUUGGAUCAGUGUCUAAGGUACAUUUUGUCUUUGAGAUUCAACCAGUAUGAGCUUGAGCAGUGCUUCCAAGGUUGUGUGCGUGUGUGUGUGUGUGUGUGUGUGUGUUUAAUGUUUUCAUGAUAUCAAGUUCUGAAUGAAUCUAGCUAUGUAAGUCAUUAUGUCUAUAAGGACAAACUCCAGAUAUUUUGGAAGUUAAUUGAUUGUUUCCCUUUUACCCAGCUUAAAUCUAGAAAACCUUCCUCCUCUGUGACACCUCAAUGCAUUUUGAAUUCUCCCACUCAAAGUAUAUCCCAUCCUGGUUCCUGGCCAGUUUUUCUUUGCCUUUACAAUAUUUCCAAGAAUCUGCCUUUCUCCUCCUGCUGGCUGAUAACUGUGUGACUUCAGUUACUCCCCUUCUACCAUUAAUAAACUUGGUAGUACUCUUGUCUUUUAGAGCAGGGACCAUGCGAUAUUCAUCUUAUUGGGCUUCCUCCUCUCUAUGUCAAGUGCCUCGUACAUAUUGGGCUUUCAGAAAGGGUUGUUGAUGGAACUGAGUUUCUGACAAUUGCUACCCAUCACAUCCUUCAGAACUUCCUCCAAAGAAACCUUUCUGGACUAACUCAAUUCAGACUUUGCAUUCCCUUUAUUUGCAUGCCAUACUACUUCUGUACAUGUGGCUUGCAUCAUAUUAACUUGUGCAGUUCUGGGUUCUAGCUAUUCCUUCUGAAGUAUAAGUAAAGUAUGAGAGAAAGGUCCUCAGUCUUGGCAUUCGAAAACUUGGGUUCUGUCUCUGCAAAUUUUCUAAUUGAGUGAUCAAGGAUGGUCACUCAGCCUCCCCAGGUCUCAAUUGUUAUUGUUGCUAUUUAACCUAAAAGAUGGAGGGAGAGCAACCGUGUGGCUGGAUCUAAUGGUUCUAGCCUUAGAAUCCCGAUUUUUGGCCCACUGGUUCCCUAAAGAGAUUAUAAACUUCUCAAGGGCCAAGAAAUUUCUUUUUUCUACAAUUUGGAAUAGAUAACAGGCUUGACAUAGAUGGUACUUAGUAAAUUCUUCCAUAGAAAAUGGUGGUUAUUUUACCCCUUUGGGAAAGAAAGCUAAGCCCAAGAGUGCUCUUUUCAUAACAUAGCCCAUGACCUAAAGUGGCUCUUGGAUCCACUCUAGGAAAUGCUAUUCUGGACUCGGACACGAGCCGCGAAGACCAGCACAACAUGUUAGUCAUGAAGUUGAGGGGUACACCUAACAGCUUUGCCUUUUUAAGUAAAUGUGUUUAUGGUUUGCGCUGCUUUCCUCAGUAAGAUCAUUUCCUUCCAAGUAAUGAGAGCUGUGUGUGAUAUGGUUGAAAUCCUGUCCCUCGGCUGAGAUGGAGAACUGACGUGAUGCUUGAGUGGGGCCCAUUAUCCCAACGGCACUCAUAGGAAUGCUAAGUCUGGCAAAUAUUAACUCGGGAACCACAGCAGCAGUGAGGAGACAGCUGUCUGCCCACCUUCCUGAACCUACCACUUUGGGGGUGUUUUCUGAUUUUCCUUUCCUUGGCUUGAGCAUUGCAUUUAUUUCCCCCUUUCAUUCAUUCUUCUUUCUCCUCUAAAAACAAAACAAAACAAAACAAAAAAACACACACACCAAAACAAAACAAAAACAAAAACAAAAAACCCAACAAAAACGAAAAACCAAAAAACCUAAACCAAAACAAGGACAUUGUAUUUCCUCCAUUUGUCUCCAACUGGAAACUCUGAUGUUCUCAUUCAUUUCAGAACAGAAAGCUUUUCCUCUAUUGCCUAAGUGAGGCACAGUACAUUUAUUCAUCCUCUCUGCCUCCAAGCCACAGGCCUGGGCAUCAGAAGAACUCUGGAAUCUUCCAGGGGUCCCUGGGAACAGACUCCCAUGCAGGCAGCUAUAGAAUGAAUGGGUUGUGAGAGCAGCUCAAAACCAUUCCUGUGUGCUGGAGACACUUUCUUCGGAGGAAGAGAAGCAUAUGAUCUUUAUCCAUAUGGCAGGGAAGGGAGUGACAUAUUAGGUGGAAGAAUGCUAAUGUACAUCUGAAUGGAUGUAAAGAAACGACUUAUAGCUAAGAAGGAGGAGUUUGUGGUUUAGGUUAAAACCACAAAGGAAGUGAAGGACGUUACCACCUUCCUCUUUGUGGGUAGAAGAUUCUCCUUCGGCUCAUCUCAUGGGCUCUGUGAGACGGAGUCUUCCUACAGGAAUACGUUUAUUGCUCCUGCUCUUCCAGAAAAGCACCCUGCGUAGUGGUUUGUGGUCUUAGAGAGUUUACGCUUGAUUUUUAAAGUAUAAACAUGCUAUAAAUUACCCCCAUUUCCAAACCUUGUGUCCCAAACAUGCUUCCCUUAUCUUAAAUAGAAAAGCAAAGAAUUAAGGAUCUCUGGGAAAUGAAGGGAAGAAAAAGCCUUUUCCCAAGUUACCUAAGGAAUUUCCUGACUUUAAUUCUCUUUUGUUUUCCUGGAAGAGACCUUCUGACUAAGCUUUGACUUAGCAAAAAAAUAAAAAAUAAAAUACAGAUAUACAGAUAUGUAUGUGUGUGCGUGUGUAUACAUAUAUAUAUGUAGCAUAUAUAUAUAGUGUACAUAUAUAUAUAGCAUAUAUAUAUGUAGUAUAUAUAUGUAGCAUAUAUGUAGUAUAUAUAUGUAGCAUAUAUAUAUGUGUAGUAUGUAUAUAUAUGUAGUAUAUAUAUGUAGUUGUGUUCUCUUAAUAGCAACCAUUUAUUGAGGACUUACUAUGUACUAGGUAUUUUCGUUAUAUUAUUUUUGAACUUGCAAAAAUUCUGAGAAAUAGGUUUUAUUAUUCCCAUUUUUAUAGGUGAGAAAACGGAAGCCAAGAGAAAUCAAUUCAUGCUAUGAUCUUGAACCUUGCACUCUGUGUGUUUGAUGGUAAUACUUGUGCCCUCCCCGCCUCUCCUUACAGUCUGGUAGUAGAAGUAUUUCAGCCACUGAUGCCGAAAACUUAGAAGUAAGAUUUGAGGGGCGCCUGUGUGGCUCAGUUGGUUAAGUGUCUGACUUCAGCUCAGGUCACGAUCUCACGGUUCGUGGGUUCGAGCCCCAAGUCGGGCUCUGCGCUGACAGCAUGGAGCCCUGUUUGGGAUUCUUUCUCUCUCCCUCUCUCUCUGCUCCUCCCUUGCUCGUGCUUUCUCUCUCAAGAUACAUAAAUAAACUUAAAAAAAAAAAAGAUUUGAAAGCUGGCUCUGCCUCUUAUUACCUAGAUGGGCCUGAGCAAACACUUGGAUCCCUCCAGGUCUUAUCUGGUAUGUCUUGACUGCUGUGACACUUGCUUAACAUUGGGAAAAGUUCCCCUUGUUGGCUUCUUAUUGGAAUUAACUGAAGCAACCAAUAUAAAGGUGUAGUAUAUUGACUGGCAGUAAACUCCCGAGAAGAUAGACACAUGCUAAUUGUGUAUGGGUCAGGUUCUAGACCAAACUGUGAAACUGCUAAAGUGUGCUUGGGGGAACUUUCCCUCUCGUUUAAAGACUGCCCUAACUCCUCUCUCUAGCAAAAAGAUGCAUCUAGGUGUAACACUUGGAAGAGAGAAGCCAUACCUCUUCCACGCUAAAACAAAAGAAGCAAGCCUUGGUUGUAGAAUUCUGUCCUCCCAAAGCUUGAGGCAAGGGCUGUUUUGUGGUUGUGUGUGUGUGGCGGGGGGGGGGGGGGGGUGUCCAGGGGUAGGAACAAGAAGCCAUCUGUGUCCCCCCUACCAGCCCCACGGAGCACAAGGACCCAAGGCAGCCUUUUCAUCUCUUCUUUUCUGGAUGUGUUCAGUGCAGGGGCAGUUGUAGAUUCCGGGUCUCAGCUGCUUUUGAUCAGAACUUUUUUCCCCUCCUGUGGUGAUUUUGCAUGAAUUUUAGACCCUGGCAACUUUCAGUUGCCUGGAUCUGGUUUUCAUUGCAGAUUUUGUCAAGAUUUUACAUUUAGGUGGCAUUUGAAAGGCUUUUCUUUUUUUCUUCUCUGAAUAUUCUAUGUGAACUUGAGAUUCUGGACUUCCCCCCUGCUGCCCAGUUUAUUCUAUUUUAAAUGUAAUAUUGGUGAACUUUCUUUUUCUAAAGGUUUUAUUUUUAAGCAAUCACUACACCCAACACAGGGCUCGAACUUACAACCCUGAGAUCAAGAGGCACACACUCCAUCCACCGACUGAGCCAGCCAGGCACCCCAGUGUAUUGUUUUAAUUACAAAAUUAAUAAUGAUUCAUCGUAGAGAAUUAGGACAAAAGAAGAAAGAAAAACGUAAUGACCCACGAACCCAGCUUUUAGAAUGCUAUUCACAUUUUAAUUCAUUUCCUUCAUUCUUCUAUGCAUAUACAUGUUUCUAUCUCUGUAAAUUGUAUUACGUAUGUUUUGAAAAAUUAGGAUGUAUACAUUUUGUAUUCUGCUUUUUCCACAUAGCUUUUUUUUAAAAUUUUUUUUUUAACGUUUAUUUAUUUUUGAGACAGAGAGAGACAGAGCAUGAAUGGGGGAGGGUCAGAGAGAGAGGGAGACACAGACUCUGAAACAGGCUCCAGGCUCUGAGUGGUCAGCACAGAGCCCGACGCGGGGCUUGAACUCACGGACCGUGAGAUCGUGACCUGAGCCGAAGUCCGCCGCUUAACCGACUGAGCCACCCAGGCGCCCCCACAUAGCUUUAUAUCAUGAGCAUUCUUCUCAUGUCAUACAUUUUUUUGAAGAUUUAUGGCUGUAUAAUAUUUCACUGUAUGAAUGUACCAGGGAACACCUAACCAUCCCUAUUCAGCUGAUGUUUAGAUGCUUCUUUGUAAAAAUUUGAGUGUCCACACUUUCUUUUUCCUUAUAAAUAAUUCCUAGAAAGGGAAUUAUUGGGAAAUCAGGGAAUAGAGUAUAUACUUUUAAUUUUUUAUUUAAAAAAGUAUUUGUACCUGAUUACUUUUUUUUUUUUUUUAAUUUUUUUUUUCAACGUUUUUAUUUAUUUUUGGGACAGAGAGAGACAGAGCAUGAACGGGGGAGGGGCAGAGAGAGAGGGAGACACAGAAUCGGAAACAGGCUCCAGGCUCCGAGCCAUCAGCCCAGAGCCCGACGCGGGGCUCGAACUCACGGGCCGCGAGAUCGUGACCUGGCUGAAGUCGGACGCUUAACCGACUGCGCCACCCAGGCGCCCCUGUACCUGAUUACUUUAAUACUGGCCAACCUGUGUACAGUCAAAGCCUUGUCAAAGUCUCUUGAUAUAUAGUGUUAAAUUGAUUUCCAAAAAUGUUGCUCUAGGACAGGUCAGUCUGUGAACCAUGGGCCACAUUUGUCCUGUGACCUGUUUUUGUACCACCCAUGAGCUAACAAUGGUUUUUACACAUUUCAAUGGUUGGGGAAGAAAAAUCAAAAGAAGAAGAAUAUUUUAUGACAAGUUAAAAUUAUAUGGAAUUCACAUUUAAGUUUGCACAAAGAAUGCAUGUUGGGGACAUGGUCAUAUUCUUUCAUUGACGUCUCGUCUGUGGCUGCUUUCGCCCUACAGUGGCAGAGCUGAAUAGUUGCAACGGGGACUAUAUGGCCCACAAAGCCCAAAAUAUUUACCGUCUGCCCUUUACGGAAAUAGUUUGUGGAAACAGUUUGCUGACCCCUGCAUUAGUAUGUGAUCCUACAAAUUGCCAGUGGGAUUUUCUUACUUAUUGUUAAUCUGAACAAGUCAACAAAUAAUUAUGAAGUGUUUACCGUGUGCUGGGCCAUCAUAGAAAAUACAACUGACUUCCUACUUCUUCAGUCAUUAGUUAGAAUGAUGUGUUCGCGACUUCAAGUGAUUUUUUUCUAUUGGUUUUCUGUGGGUGUUAAAUGGUAAAUUUUGAAACGUUAAAAAUUGAAAUGUCAAAUUUUAAUUCAGGUGUUUAUGUUUUUCAUAUUGCUUUGUAUGAGCUCUUUAUAUACUAAUAAGGUUAAUUUCUUUUUCAGUCAUAUUUGUUAAAAUCCUAUUUGUUGGAAAUACUUUGUUUCUAUUAGGUUGUUGGUCUUCCAGUUUUAUGAAUUUUUUUACAGACAGAAUUUUACAUUUUUGUGCAGUCAAAUCUAUUGAAUUAUUUACUUAUUUUUCCUUUGAUUUUAUUCUGAGAAUAUCCUUCCCUGUCCCCAAGGUCAGAUAAGUAUUCAUCUACAUUUUCUUCCAGUUUUUUUUUUUAACUGAUUCGUUUUUAUAUUUAUCUCUUUAAUCCCUCUGGAAUUUCUUAUUAUACGAUGUGAGACGAGGAUCUUAAAUUUUUUCCAAAUUGCUGGCAAUUCGACGCGGGGCUCAAACUCACAAAACUGUGAGAUCACGACCUGAAGGAAACCUAGAGUCCGAAGCUUAACUGACUCGAGCCACUCAGGCGCCCUAAUGUGUAUGUCUUUUGGUAUUCUGUUUGUGUGUGUGUACGUGUGUGUUUUGUUGUUGAUUCCCUACAGACGUCCACUUUGUUGUUCCUGAUUAGAUCUGUACAGUACACAGAUCCUAGUGGAUUUUGCCAUUCUAUUUUUUUUCCCCCUCCGGUGUCUUACUCCUUUACGGUGGUAAAUUUCAGUAGCAUCGCCCCUUCUCAUGGUCAAUUUGUCAGGCAUGCAGUAUAAGCUUAUCUCCUACAAGUACACAAAUCGUAAGGAAACUUCCUACCAACAAGAGGUAAAGGCCAGAGCCAGGCCUCACACAUAUGUGACCCAUGAACCGUAGUGCUCGUUCAUAACCACUCCAGGUGACAAAGCCUUCAGCUUUUGUAACCUAGGAGGUUGAAGGUUUUCUGGCUGAAUAGUAUCAACUGGUAUAAAAAGAGCAAAUCUCUGAAAAGGGUUCCCAGAAGAGCUGUUACAUGAUGCACAGCCCCUAACCUUCUGUUAACGGCUCACCCCAACCCGACCUUGGUUCACAGUGGAGUUAUUUCAUUUACCAGGUGUGAAAAUUGGAUUUUACCACAGAGGAGGGGAGUUAUUACCUAUCAGGUCUGCUCUUUAGGGGGGCAGAGAUUGGUGUGGGAUUUAUUAAGAGAUGUGCUUAUGCACAGAACAAACCAUUAGAGAUGUGUUCCUUUAAAAUGGAUUUGCAACCUUUGUCAUUUUAGGAGUGCUAUUUUUUUUUUCUCUUACUUUUUCUGACAGCCUACUUUCCCUUGUAGAUUGCACACAUCCCACCUAGGAUGUGAAUAUUUUAUAUGGCACCAUUCUGCCAAGAGAGGGACCUCAGGGGUGUGACAGAGUGCAGUUGGGGGUGGGGGUGGGGACUGCCUGCCGUUUGGAUGCUGAUAUUAGUCACACAUGGAUACAAAGGAUGGGAGGUGGGCUGAUAAAAUUAUUUUCAUGUUGAUUCACUGCAGUCUGGUCCAGACCUCCGUUUGAUGCAGGUAUUAGGGUCACUCAGAUUCUCCAAUGAGGGAAUUCUUGAAAAUCAAGAGUUUAGAUUUCCCUACUUCUUGUUAGAAGCCACAGACAGCCUCAAAGUUAGUAUCUGGAUAACCGCAUCUGUUUUUGAAAGAAGACACCUUGUUUACUAUCAUGGUGGAGGAGGUGGCUGAAUUUAUUAUUGUUUAGCAUUUCUAGCACACUUUGUUCUCGCAGAGUGCCUUAAACUUAUUUAUGUAUGUAUAUUGGUUGCUCUCCAGCACUCCCAGGAGAUGAGUGGGUGAUAAGUUUUAUUAUCACCUGCUUUUCCAAAGAGGAAACAAGAGCUCCUGAGAAGAGAAGGGGCUGGCCUGGGUUUACAGCUCAGGGCUCCUGUCACCCCGUUGGGGGACUGGGCCCUCAACAAAAUGGUGAUAAAGGCAGGCAGGCCUUGCUCCGCCCCCUCCCAGUCCUGGUGGGCCACCUGGGUCCCCUCCCAUAUCCCAUUGAGCACCGAGUGCCCUCCCUCAAAAUAAAAAUCUACACGGUUCUUGGCCUCUGACUCUGCCAGCGCUUGGCAUCUAAACACACAGGCUUCCUCACAAGGGCGACUUACCCCUCUGCUUUUCUUGUAAAGGUCCUGCUGUUUUCCUCACCGCCCAGCUCCAGUCCCUGGAGUCAUCUGUGACUCAGCCCCUCCAUCCACUUUAGUUGUCCGGUGUGCCAUGUAGAUUCUGUCACCAAACAUCUUCACAUUCGUCCCUUCCCACUGCCACUGCCUGGACCCCUGUAAUAGCCCUUUCCUGGGUCCCCACACUUCCCAUCCUAAACUCUUCAGUCCCGUCACACUCUCUUAAGCAACCUCCGCUCCACAAACACUGUGCUCCCUCGGGGUCCAUUCUCAGCUCAGGGUGGCCUUCUAACCCAAAUGCACACUCCUAGCCAGCACUCAAGACCCCACCUUCCUAAGGAGCCAUUUCUCCUACCCAGAUCCUGAAGAUCACCUUUGAUCCUGCGCAUCAAAAUCACCUAUGGCGUUUGGUAAACAGGCGCAUCAAGAUCACCUAUGGCGUUUGGUAAACAGGCUCCAGCCAGAGAGGGUCUGAUCUGGUGGGAUGGCUCUGGGGCGAGGCGAGGAACGUGUGCGGUGGCCACGCUGCCCUGCCCGCCGCCUGCAGCCAGGUAUCCUGCCCCCCCCCCCCCCCCCCGCCCCGGGGGUGCGCCGCUGGCCCCGCACCCUGAGCCGCACCCUGAGCCGCUCACCUCACCGCGGCGUGGUUCCCACCAAGCCUUGGGCUUUCGGCCCCUGCUGGCUCUGCUGUUCCUUUAGUCUGAAGCCCUCCCCGGCCGCCCCAUCCCCACCUGUUGAAAUUUUUCCAGUGCUUUAAUGGCCCAGCUCAACUAUGAAGGCGCUGCUUCAUGAAGACUUUUCUGAUUGUUCCAGAGGGAUGGGGUGCGAGUUCCUCCGCAUUCAACUUAAGAUCCUUUCAUAGCACAGCUUGGUCUUACCAUUCUAGUCCCCAUCUUUCCUGCCUGGCCCCUUCGCUGUCCCUAAACUCUCACUUUACAGGCAUCCCCAGAACAGGCCCAGGACGCAUACCUCUGCCAGGAAUGCGGUGCCCCUCCCCCCCUCCCCUCCCCCAUCCCCCUCUCUUUUUAAAAAACUUACCCUACUAGGCUCAGCUCAUGUGUCAUUUCCUCCGUGCCACAUUCAUCACAACCAACAGUCUUUCUAGACUCUCCCCUGCCCCCACCGGCCCUAAGUCACUCCCUCCUCUGUGCUUUGCAGGCCCCAACCGAGAACUCAACUGCCCUGGCUUUCUUCCUGCUUUGCUUAACCUGGUUAACGCCACCCUGGGCAGUGAACUUGGCCAAGGUUGUACUCUGAGGUCCAUACUCUGUCAGUCCUGGAAUGCGUGCCUGAAGGAAUCUGUUUGCUCCGAGCCAUUCCGUCCCAGAACGAGCUCUGCUCCCUGCCCUUCUCCCCUGCCAUUUGUCACCUCCUGCCCUUUCUGUGCUUUGUUUUAUUCCCCCCACUAGAUUGCAAGCACUCUUGAGAAGAGAAACCUUAGAGGAUUUCCCUCUCUAUCCCCAAGCCCGGUUCCUUACCCGUGGCAGGAGCUCAAUAAAUGUUUGUUUAAUUGAAUUGUAGGGUGUUGUGCUCAGCUAGCUGGUAAACAACCCUAUUUAAGGGGUUAACAAAUAACACGCAGAGAAGUUCUUCUCCUUUGGGGGCAUUUGCAUUUUAAUGGGAAUCUUAAAAACCCGAAGGAAAUGUUCUCUAAUGGUGGGAUUGCCUGCAUUGUAGGAAGGCUCAUUUUUGGUGGUGCUGGAGAGGGACUCGGGUAAAGUUUUCCAGCCCUGGAGUCCUUCAACUCUUUUGGGACAUGGAUGCACUUUGGGCAGUCUGGUGAAACCUAUGGUUGGAAUUAUAAUUCUAAACAGAAUGAAAUGCACAGCGUUGCAAAAAUCGUUACAAUGAAACAUGAUCAAAAUGCCAAAAGCAUCAAAUCCGCCAUACACUAAUAUAUGUGCUUCUUUAUUAGAACAUUAAUAAAAAGGUCUACUGGCAAAUUUAGUAACUACUGUAAUUGUGUCAUCGGUGAUGAGUUUAAGCGAUAUUUGGGAUGUCUGCCACAACUGAAAGGUGAUACAAAAAUCCCUGUGAUUCUAUUGGUGAAAAAGUCAUGGGUGGUUCAUACGGCCUUGAUCUAUUGCCUGUGUUCCUGUUUGAAGGAAAUGAUAAGUUCCAGUUAGAAGUUAGUGGAAGUAAACGUAUAUUUUUUUUCCUCCAUCCAAAAUCCAGCCUUAGUCUCCAGGUAAACCUGGGAUUAAGAGACCCUGCUUAGCUGCACAACCCGCCUCCCCCACCAUGUGAUGUUGGUGGUGGGUGGUCCUGAAGCCAGGGUCAGUUGGCUGGCCCUGGGCUUCCUUGUCUAUACUCCACAGCCUCUAUCUGGAGAUCCUAGAUUUCUUUUCUUUUUCCCCCUGUUUUACACAACCAAGGGCAGUAGUCUAAAUUUGUUUCAUUUUCACUGGAGACGUGAAAGGAGAAACAUAAAAGGAUUGUCAGGCUUUGGGGGAGGGAGGGGAUCUUUUAGUCCCUAGCCUGGGAGGAUCCCUUCCCAAAGUCCUAGGCUUGGGGUGGGGGCCAGAGGAAGAAGGUCAUUGUAUGUAUGUAUGUAUGUAAGUAUGUAUAUAUUUAUUUAUUUAUUUAUGAGAGGAGCAAAGAGAGAGAGAGAGAGAGAGAGAGAGAGAGAGAGAAUCCCAAGCAGGCUCCAUGCUCAGCAUGGAGCCCCACACGGGAUUCUAUCCCAGGACCCUGGGAUUAUGACCUGGGCUGAAAUCAAGAGCCCGGAGGGGCACUCACUCAACCGGCUGAGCCAGCCAGCUAGGAGCCCUGGGGUCGCUGCAUCCUGGGGAAAGCAGUUGCAGUUUCCCUGAAAAUCACUGCUGGCUCCUUCUGAAGUCAGAAGUCCACAUGGAGGCCAAAGAGCCUGAUUCCCGGGGGGUGGUCCAGCAUGAUAUCCACCCCGGGUGUUGGUUAGUGACUAAGUGAAAUAUCAUUGCUCUUGAAACACCGCACUCCCUAAUGCUGAUGUUAUUUCUAAUUUGGGUGAAAGUGUUUGUGCAGUUCUCUUUUUAGCAGCCAAAUGCAGGGAACACGUUCAGUCCAUUCCCACUCUCCUUGUGUGUUUUAGUCACGUAGAGGCAAUUUUCCCCCACACAGACCGACCCUGCCGUUUGCCGUGACUUGGGGCACAGACCUCUGUUCUCCGGGGUGGGGGGGGGGGUGUGAGCUUAGGGAAUAUAAGUAAAUUUUAAUAUUAGUGGGACACGUGGCUACCAGAGUGAGCACCCUAUCAACCAAGGCAAAGCAUCAUCCCUGCCCCGAAUGGUAGUGACACCAAAGGUUUUGUCCGCGACACCUUUCUUUCCUCUUGUGUGCCUUUUCCUUGCCACUAAUCUGCUUUCUGUCUCUAUAGAUUUGCCUUUUCCAGGACAUUGCGUAUAGAGGGGAUGAUGCAGGCUACAGUCCUUGUGCGCCCGGCUUCUUUCCCUUUGUGUAGCAAUUUUGAGGUACAGCCACGUUAUAGUGUGUGUCAGUACCCCAUUCCUUUUUAUUGCUGAGGAACGCACCACAUUUUAUUUAUCCGCGCAUCGGUUGAUAGACAUUUGGAUUAUUUCCGCGUUUUGGCUGUUAGAAUAAUGCUGCUAUAGAACAUUCACACACAAGUCUGUGUGGACCUGUUUUUCUUUCCCUUAGCUAGACACCUAGAGGUGGAAUGGCUGCUGGGUCAUAUGGUCAACUUACGUUUAACUUUUUAGGGAACUACCAAACUGUUUUUGAAGGUGGCGGCACCAUUUUCCGUUUCCCCCAGCAACGUGCCGGGGUUACGGUGCCCCCCGCCGUUCUCGCAACACUUGAUGUCGCCUGUCUUUUCUCUCAUGGCUGCCCCUGGGUGACAUGUAGUACGUCUCACUGUGGACCAGCGUCGGUUUUGAACUACGUGCCCCCCCUUUCUGACCACAGUGCUCCCCCCACCCCCACCAACCCCGCCACUUCCCUCCCCAUUUUAGGCUAGAAACCAAACCGGAACUCUUUUCCUUCCUCUUACGUUCACACGCUUCAGCAAUGAGCUCCUCUAGCCUUCCUCAGGUGGCGCCUUUUCAUUCACCUUUAUGUUACCCUCUCUGGGUCUGCAUCACCUCACACCGAAAUUUCUGCAGCCUUCCAUCUGCUCUCCUGGCCCGCUGUGGGUCUACCUUCCUUCCUGGAGCUGCAGAUUGUUAGAAGAGUAACAUACAAAGGGUGUGCGUGGAUGUGGAACCAGGGGAGCUGUGCCCUCCUCCAGGAAUCACACUUAACUGUCACAUGACCUUGUAUGAGUUCUGCAACUUAUCUGAGCCCAGCCUCCUUCAUGAAGUUAUUUAACCUCUAUGAGCCAUGGUUUCUUCGUGUGCGAGGUAAGAUUGAUAAUAGAGCCUAUCUUAUAGGGUUGCCGUAAGCCAACCAUACAAUCCAAGUAAAGCCCUCCGCACAGUGCCGGUGGUAUGGGGAACACUCAGUGCUGCCUAAUAUUAUUACUUUAAUUUUUUUUAAUGUUUACUUAUCUUUGAGAGAGAAAGAGACAGAGUGUGAGCAGGGGAGGGCAGAGAGAGAGGGAGACACAGAAUCUGAAGUAGGUUCCAGGCUCUGAGUUGUCAGUACAGAGCCAGACGCGGGGCUCGAGCUCAUGAACCAUGAGAUUAUGACCUGAGCUGAAGUCAGAGGCUUAACUGACUGAGCCACUCAGGUGCCCCGUAAUAUUAUUAUUUUAAUUAUUGUGAUGACUAUUAUUAUUAUUAUUCAUUAUGAUGCAGGUUUCUUCCAAACCUAGCACAUGGCUAUCAUAAGGAUCAGGUGUGGCUGCGAGUAUGAAAAGGCUUUGAAGAAUGCCAUGCAAAUUGCAGUAGUGUUAUUUUUACCCAGUUUUUCCCGUGCUCAAGGAGGGAGGCAGGCAGGAAAAGCAGCGGGAACACAGGCUUUGCUGCUGGCCUAGUGUUCGAAUCUGAACUGUGUGCUAUGUAACAGCCGCGAGGCUUGGCCAAGUCAUUCAACCUUACCAUUUUGAUUUUCUCAUCUGUAAAAUGGGUGUAACUAUAAAUCCCAUUCUGGAUGAUGCUGUAAGGAAGGUGCCUAUUCCGUAAGCAGCGUUUGGUAAAGGGUGGCUUUUUCGUUUUUUUAACGGUGUUAUCAUUCGUGCAUGCUUCACUAUUGUGUUCUGUAUAAUGAACUCCUACCCUAUUUAUUCAAUUGCAUUUGUCCCUGCACCCAACACCUGCUUUCACCUCAGAAUGACUUGGGUUUUAAUCUCAGCUCCCACUCGGGUUUCAAUCUCAGCUCCCACUUAAACUACAUGAUUUUAGGACAGUGACUUAUCUCUCAAAGUAUCUGACCCCUCAACUGUAAAAUGGGAACAAUAGUUCAUACUUUGUGGGGUCGUUGUGUGUAUUAUAAGAGACGAUAUAAAUAUAGUCCUUAGACUAUUGCCUGGCACAUGCAUAUACCAAAUACUAAGUAAAGGCAGCGGUCGUGUUGGCUUGUAAUCACCAUUACUAUUAUCGUUUUCUGUCCACACAUACACUGUUCUCCUUUCAACCUCUUGCUUGGCUCCUUGGCUCUCCCUCCUGGGUCACUAGGCCUAGUUCAACUUCUGGUGCUGCAGAUGAUUGCUCCAGACUCUACUUAUUGUUUUCCACCCCGCCCCCCGCCCCCCACCAAAGUCGAGUUUGUUUCCUGUCUGUCAUGUCUGUAACACAAUUUAGGAAUUAAUUGUUACUAAACUUUUUGUGUUUUCCCAACUGAACUGUAAGGUUCAUGACAAGGACUAUUUCUUCACCUUCUACUGAAAUUCUCACUCGAUUUAAUUUGGCACUAAAAUGCAUAAUAAGUGUUAAUUUAACUUCUCAUUGAUAAACAAUAACUAAGAAAGCAAACAUGUAAAAGUCAUUAUGAAAUUUUAAAACCAGGGUUUUUUUGAUCACCUUUUUUGAUAGUGUUCUUCAUUAAUACGAUUCAACUUUGAUCCUGAGUGAAAUUAUUUAUUCUGAAACACAGAGUAGAGAAAGUGGAGAGUCCCCAAGUCAAGGUCAGCAUUGUCUGUUAAGUUAGUAAAGCUUGUUUUUACUGACACAAAUGACCUUGUUUUUGUUUUCACUGUUACAUCUUGGCAUCUCUGUCCAAUCCGACCCUUCCCCUAAUCCCAGAGGACCUACUGCCUUCAGAAAGCCCCCUGAGCAUCUCCUGGCUUUAAUUUUUGGGAAGGUUCUCCAAACUCCAGAAUUAGUUUUUCCUUUCUUCUCCACAACAUUCCCUCCAUACAGUUAACAGUUAAGGAGGACAGAGGUCUGGCCAGAUAAAUUAUUAAAAUAAUUUGUGUUACCCUUCCCAAGGGCUUGGGGAAGGGACAUCUUAAAUCCAAAGGUAUGAAUUUCUAAUGGCAGAGUUUAAAGGAGUGUGUUAGGAGAGUUGAAGAGAUCCCAGUGAGGGAGAUUUAAAUGUGAGAAUAAGUGAGGUAUUGAGGAGGUAACCUUCUCAGUGCUCCUAAAAUCUCCCCCUAAAGCCAGUCCCAUUGUGGAUAAUCCAGAGAUGAUGAAAUGUAGUAAUAACCAACAUUUACUGGGGACUUACUAUGUGCCAGGUACUAGUCCUACAUGUCUACAUGUGGGCGCUCAUUUAUUCCUCACGCUACCCUGGGAGGAAAAUAUUAGCAUCGCUCCACUUUAUGAAAGAAAAGACGAAACCCUAGAGAGGUUAAGUAAUUUUUUUAAGAUCACACAACUCUCUGAUGGUGGAAUUCAACGCCGGGCAGUCUGAUGGAGGGCCCCUCUACCCAGAAAUGGCUCUGCUGAAUCUUCAGUCUCCCCUUACAAGCAUUCUAGGAAAUCAGAAGAGCCAACUUUAUGAGCAAGACUUAGACACCAUCAUCAUCAUCGUCAUCCUCGUGGCAGCAGACAAGGUGUGGUGCCAUUGUGCGAGGGUGCUGCAUAGAAUGUGGAGAAGACAUUGAUUUAGCCCCACUGAGGGUCUGAAUCAACCUGCCUGCUGCCCCCUUUGGGUAGUCUCAAAUGCCUCCACUUCCAUGAUGCAUUUUUUGCUCAUCUCACCCAGCCCCCGGAUAAUAUAUCUCCUCUGAUUGCCAUUUUACUUUUUGCCUCUGCUCUGCCACUUAUUUAUUACUUUCUAUCUUGUAUUGUGGUUAUUUAUAUACACUGUCACACAGCUGAGCCGUUGCACAUUGCUGAGUCCUUUGCUGGGCUGACUCCUACGCGUUCUUUGAGAUUCUGCUCAGGUCUGGUUGCAUUCUGUGACUCUCUUGUGUGGAUUAGAUGCCUCUCUUCUGUGUGCCCCGGACACCUGUUAUUUAUCCAUUUCCUAGCAUUUAUUAUACUUGAUUAUAAAGGUUCACUUGUCAGUAUUCUUAACUAGAUUGAUCCCAGGUCCCAACAUAAGGGGACUUGUCGUAUACUUACUUGAAUCUUUGGUGCGUUGCACAAUACCUGGCACUUACUGAACCCUUCCCUCCCCCCUUUUUAAAUGAAUGAAUCAUCUGUCUAAGUCUGAUUAGACUUUGAGGACAAAAUUUGAUACCUGAUUCAUAUUUGUGCGCCCCCACCCCACCAAGAUGCCCAGCACUUAGUAGCUGCUCAGUAAAUAUAGCAAUGACUAGGGGCGCCUGGGUGGCGCAGUCGGUUAAGCGUCCGACUUCAGCCAGGUCACGAUCUCGCGGUCCGUGAGUUCGAGCCCCGCGUCGGGCUCUGGGCUGAUGGCUCGGGGCCUGGAGCCUGUUUCCGAUUCUGUGUCUCCCUCUCUCUCUGCCCCUCCCCUGUUCAUGCUCUGUCUCUCUCUGUCCCAAAAAUAAAUAAAUAAAUAAAUAAAAAAUAUAGCAAUGACUAAAUGAUUGCAAAACACAGAAAGGUAUAUGAUUUUGUUCUCCAGAUAUAGGGCAAGACUAGGAACUACCUUAAAAGGUACAGGGUGUUAAAAGUUUGCAUAUCCAUGCUAUGUUCUAAAAUUGGAGAUAUAAACACCUCCUUCUAUAAUGGAUGAGAAAGAAAAGAACAUUUCUUUUUCUUCAUUUUGAAGUUACUUGGUUAGUAAACUGUAGUCCAACAUUCCAUCAAACCCAGGUCCAGAUGACUCUAAAGGCAAUAUUGUUCCUGUCACACCACACCAUUGAGAUCUUAGGGUAGAGGGGCCCUAGUUGGGCCCAGAAGAACCAGUAGGGCUGAGGUAAUCAGACAGGAAUAGACACUGCAUGAACUGUAAUAUAUAUAAACAAGUCUUUUAGGAAGACCUAUCUGGAAGGAGCGUGGAGAACUGACUGACAAGGGGAGAGGCUAGAGGCUGGAAUGACUAUUUGGAGGCUAUUACAGCAGGCCCAAGUUGGGACCAGAAAACAAGAAAUUGAUUUAAGGAGGAAUUUGUGGACACUGGUGACUGAGAAGAGAUAGAUGGAUGGAGAUUUUGAGUCAGGGUUACGCCAAAGUUUUGAGCAUGAGUUAAAGAUAGUAAAUUCAGAGGUGAGACUUAAUUUUGAAAGAUGGUGAGUUUGUUUUUUGACAUGUUGAGUUGAUUGUAGAUAGGCAGGCUGAGUAGACAGAAAUGCGGGAUUUAAGCUCAAAGGCCCCAGGAUGUGUUGGUCCUCUGCAAAGGGGCAAUGGCUGUAGUUAGAAGAGUGAGAGAGGCAUCUUACGGAGACUUGGAGAGGGGAAAGAUUAAAGAAGCAAGGACUUUAAGGAACAUUCACAAUUAGGAGACAAAAAGAGGAAUUUAAAUCAAUAAAGGAGACAGACCUCUAGGUAUCUAUGUGAAGGAAGUGAAAUCACUGUCUAAAGAGACAGCUGCACCACUAAUUACAAUAGCCAAGACAUGGAAAUGAUCUAAGUGUCCAUCAAUGGAUGAAUGGAUUAAAAAAUGUGUUAUAUAUGUACAGUGGUGUAUUAUUCAGCCAUAAAAAAGAAAGAACCCUGCCAUUUGCAAAAACAUGUAUGAAACUUGAGGGCAUUAUGCUGAGUAAAAUAAGUCAGAGAAAGAGAAAUACUGUAUGAUCUCAUUUAUAUGCAGAAUCUAAAAAAAAAAAAAACCCCAAACUUACAAGAACAGAACAGAUUGGUGGUUACCAGAGGCAGGAAGUAGGGGGUCGGGGGGGAAAUGGGUGAAGGUGUUCAAAAGGUACAAACUUCCAGUUGUAAGAUGAAUCAGUUCUGGGAAUGUAGUGACUAUAGUCAACAAUACUGUAUUGUAUAUUUGAAGUUGCUGAGAGAAUAGAUCUUAAAAGUUCUCAUUACACACAAAAAAAUUAUAACUAUGUGAGGUGAUGGAUGGUAACUACUCAUAGUGUGGUAACCAUCUCACAGUACAUACAUACAUCAAAGUAUGUUAUUGUAUACCUUAAACUUAUACAAUGUUGUGUGUCAAUUACAUCUCAAUAAAAUUGGGGGUGUGGUGGGGGAGACAAAAUCAGAAUGACAUUCUAUCUUGCGGUUCAAACUAUAAGAGAUUCAGAAAGGAAAUGAUAUUCAUUGGAUGCUUUGGGCGAUUAGGUUUGGCCAUGUUGAAGAGAAUUCUAGUAGAACGCUUGGGUUAAUUACAGAGGAGGAAAAUGGAUGGUGAGAAUAUAGGUUACCCUUUGGAUAAAUUGCGAAUAAAAAGAAAAGGGAAGAAGAGUGUUGGAGUAAGAAAGAUUUUACUGAGAUACUAAAGCAAAGGCGAAGUAGAUGGAAGAGAAAUAACCAAGUAAAAAACCCCUUUAGAGGUGGGGUGAGAUGACAAGGUAGGUCUUGCAAUGUAGGAGGAGUAGUGGAUAAAAUUUGGGAUAAUUGUUGCAGGAAGUGUUAUAGGUGGUGAUGACGAUACAUAGAAGAAUUGCCGAGUAAAUAGUAACAAAGUUCAGUUGAAGCUCUAUCGCCUAAAUGUUGGCUGGGACCCACUUUCUCGGUUUUGUGGGUUUUUUUCUAAUAAUGUCUGGCAGCCCAGGAGUGGAAACAAACAUCUUAGAUUAGGCAUUUUCAUUAUUGGAACAAUGGGUGGCCAGGCACUGCAGAAAGGCAUCGUGGCACAUGAGAGCAACCUGGAUGCAAACCAUGGAGCUGUGGUCCAGUUGCAGUUCCAGAGAAGCCAGGGAGAAGGUGAUUGUGGGAAGUGGGAGGCCUCCAGCUCGGAAGGUGGAAACCCAGGAGAAAUAAAAUAGGUAUAUCUGAAGGGCAGCAUUUCUAGAGAUAUGUCUGGGAGAAGAAAAUGAAAUGAAGUAGUAGAAAUACUUAGAAUUAUUGCUGGGAAAGAGGUGAAGAACAAAAUGAAACAGGAAAUUAAUGGCAAUUAAAGAGGAAAAGCGUUGUGGGUCUAUAAUGGCAGAUGUGAAGGACUGGAAUGAAGAUGAAUAGAUUUGGGGAGACAUGAUUGGAGCACCUAGAAUAUCCCACGUGUUUCUCGUUAAGCUAUGAUGGACUGUGGUCCAAAGACUGGGGAAGAAGAUCAGCAUUUAUAUUUUAUUUUUUAAAUGUUUAUUUAUUUAUUUUUGAGAGAGAGAGAGGGAGAGAGAGAGAGAGAGUGCACAAGCAGGGGUGGGGAAGAGAGAGAGGGAGAGAGAGAGAGAUUCCCACGCAGGCUCCACACUGUCAGCAGGGCUGACUCAGGCCUGACUCAGGGCUGGAUCCCUGAGUGAGAUCAUGACCUGAGCCCAAAUCAAGAGACUGGGCACUUAACCAAUUGAGCCACCCAGGCACCCCGAGGAUCAGCAUUUAUGUAUCAGUCAUUCGGGGCUCCAGAAGGAAAUAGCAGGCUGAAAGUCACAAGGCUUGACCUUUAGAUGGCAGACAUGAGGUUAGGAGACACAACCACACAGGUCUGAGUACGAAAAAUAAAAGGGAAACAUCGACGGUAAUUUUUCAAAGAAUCUGAGCGUCACAUCGCAGAUCUGUCAGAGCUUUCACAGAGAGGAUGCCUCUAAUUCCCAGAUUGUGGACAGCAGGUUUGUGGUGACAAAGAACAAGACCCACACUCACAUUCAAGUGCCAAUGGCCCCAGGUGGAGUGGCCAGAAGGAAGGAGGUGGGAAUAUUGAUUUCUUCCUUACAAAAGAGACACUUAGCCCUAAGUUUUCCCAGUAGGGAUGAAGCUCUGAGACUCCCCAUUGACUUAAAUGGACUGGUCAAAGCUGGGUUAGGGAGAUUUGAUUCUCCUUCAUGGGCACCCUAGCAAAGAAAUUGCCUGCUGGGUAUUUUAUUACAGCAUUGGGCAGUAGACUACAAAGGUUAAGACACCAUUCCAUCCUAACCCUUCAUUUUCAGUCACAAAUGACUCUCUUGGUAGUAUUCCUUUGGGGUUGAACCUUGCCUGUUUUGGUUUGGACAAUGGAGUAGGUGAAUCGGUAAGAAACAGUAUAAACAGCAGGAAACUAGACAAACUGAGGGCUUUGACCAAGGCAAGAAUUUGUUAGGGCCUCUGAAAGCCCUAGCACCAGCUGGCUGAGUGGGCUCAGCCUUUCUGAGUCUUACUUUCAACAUCCCGAGGUAGAACUUCAUGUUCUCUUCUACAAUGAUAAAUAUUAGUAGGCAUGAACAACGCUUGGCAGUUAGAACAGUGCUGAAGAGUGUUGGACUUCAAUUCUACUCCCUAAAAAUGGGUAGAAUCUUGGCAAGUCAUUAAACGUCUAUGUCUUAGAAUUCACCUCUGUAAAACAGAAGGGGGUUCUUUCCAACCUUAAAAUUUCAGUCUAAGUUUAUCAAGAGCUGGGGGAACAAAAACAUUUUGAAAGCGGAAUUUACAGGUAAAAAAAAAAAAAAAGACGGGAGUCAAACUUAAAUAAAAGAUACUGUGAAUAGUUGAAGAACUAACAGGCCAAAUUUAUACCAUCCAUGUUUACAUCAGAGUCAGUGCUUUAUCAUCAUUAUGAGAAGCAAAUUUCAAAAAGGAAACAACAACAACAACAACAACAACAACAACAACAAACCCAGGUCUCUUCAGUGUCAAAAGCCUCAAUUUUUAACAUUGUUAACCAUUUGGAUUAAAAAUGAUUUAUCUUAGAAUUUCGAGAGGAGCAGAAAUAGUUUGAAGCUUUUAUUUAUAGGAUGCUUUUAAAAAUGAUUGCAUCAUCAUCCAUUAGUAUUUAUGUACAUACAGCAUGCUAGAUCUCUAUACAGCAAAAUAGAAUUAUUUCUCAAGUGAGAUGGAAAUGAAUGGAAGUUAGAAAAUUCAGAAGACAAAAAUUCUAGUAAAAUAAACUAUUUGAUAGAAUAAAUAAUAUUUUUAAAUGCAUUUCAAUCCCAUGUGCAAUGCAGGUAAUUUAACAUUACUAUGGAGACUCUAACCUUUCGAUUUCAUGACUUUUAGCACACGUUAUUCUUAAUAUAUUGCUCCGUUACCCUAGUGUUGCACAUUUAGUAUUCAUUUACAUUUUUCUUCUGGUUCAGUAAAUAAUUUGAAUUUUGACACAUAAAGUUAAGGGCGUAAUGCCUAGUGAAACGGUUAAGACUUUUUUGUAUGUAUUAUUGUUAUAGUGAGCUUGACUUUGAAUAGAAAUGAUCAGGCCUGGAACACCCCACCCAGGAGCUUAUUUUAGUAAUGGUUUUCUCUUACAGGUACCUUCUGUAAAUCCCUUCUUUCCACCUACAUUUGCAAUCCCAAAUGUUUCUUGUGUAUUCCUGGUUUUAGCUGUCUUUUCACAAGUGCAUACCUUACUUUUCCCCCCUGUCUUCUUUUUAUAGAGGUUCUCACCUACCUCCAAAACUUGACAGAAAAGCAUUUUAAUUGUUUCUCAUUUGGAAUCCUUCAAUUGAUCUUAGCUUUGUAUUUUUUUUUUUUAAUUUUUUUAACGUUUAUUUAUUUUUGAGACAGAGAGAGACAGAGCAUGAACGGGGGAGGGUCAGAGAGAGGGGGAGACACAGAAUCCGAAACAGGCUCCAGGCUCUGAGCUGUCAGCACGGAGCCUGACGCGGGGCUCGAACUCACAGACCGCGAUAUCAUGACCUGAGCCAAAGUCAGCCGCUUAACCGACUGAGCCCCCAGGCUCCCCAGCUUUGUAUUGUUUAAACAUACUAUUGUCUUUUUUUUCUUUAUUUACAUCCUUAGUCAUAAUGGAAGACAAAGAGAAAACAUCUUGCUAUGAAAAAACAGGUUUUCAAAGGAUCUAGGCUGGGGAGACACGGAAUAGAAACUUACAUGGCCACCCAAGACUUCUAAGUGGUUUCCAAAGCUUCGUCAUUCAGGGUUCUCCUUUACAACCAGCACCAUUAGUUAAAAGAUUGCCCCAGGGUAGGUUUCCUACUUUGUAGACAGGGAAACUGACUACAGAAUUAAGCAUCCUGGUUAAAACUAUGGGUGGUAGAAGCAAAAACAGAAGAAAAUUUAUCUAUUUCUCUUGGCCAUGUUGCCCCUCUUUCUUCAGGGAGACUAGGCAGUACAUUGUAACAUAGGCAGUCUUCACUUAACUGAUUCAGAAAGGCUGUAGGGCCAGUGCACGAAGUUGCAGAGAAACAUCUUAGACCAAGAUUCUACAAAGCACAAAUACAGAGAUGUAACAACAGUGUGUUCCCGGGAGGACUGUGGAGUAGACGUGUCUGUAAUAACAGUUGGUCACGGCAGCAAUGAGGGCCACAAAGAUAAAACAGGAGUAGCCUUAAUCUGAGCUUUAUUCAGCAACAUGCGCUCACCAGGAUGCCGUCAUUUUUCCUUCUGAGAAAAAGUGCAAUCUAAGGGGUUACCUUCCCACUCCACAGGGGACAGUGCCGGGAUGCCUGGGCUUCGAGCCCUCCAAAGCACAGGCCUCCCGAAAAAUCAGGGGAGCGAUACUUCGAUCAAAAAGCGGUUGUGAAGCCAUUCGAGGAUCUGGGCAUUAAGUCCUCCAGGGCACCAGGUUGCGACGCGCGAGCGGGGCUGGGCUGGGCUGGGCCGGACCGGACGUGGAAGGAGAGACCCGGCACCAGCCAUCGCGUCUGCAGGACCCGGGCGAGAGUCGGCUUUGGAGAGGGUGGGGGAGAGUGCAACCCCAAGAGGGGCCUGCUCCCCUGGGAGGGGAGAAAGCAGGCAACCGCUAAUGCAGUGCACAGAUUGAGAGGUGAAGACGCGGGACCUGCGCUAGUGGCAUNNNNNNNNNNNNNNNNNNNNNNNNNNNNNNNNNNNNNNNNNNNNNNNNNNNNNNNNNNNNNNNNNNNNNNNNNNNNNNNNNNNNNNNNNNNNNNNNNNNNNNNNNNNNNNNNNNNNNNNNNNNNNNNNNNNNNNNNNNNNNNNNNNNNNNNNNNNNNNNNNNNNNNNNNNNNNNNNNNNNNNNNNNNNNNNNNNNNNNNNNNNNNNNNNNNNNNNNNNNNNNNNNNNNNNNNNNNNNNNNNNNNNNNNNNNNNNNNNNNNNNNNNNNNNNNNNNNNNNNNNNNNNNNNNNNNNNNNNNNNNNNNNNNNNNNNNNNNNNNNNNNNNNNNNNNNNNNNNNNNNNNNNNNNNNNNNNNNNNNNNNNNNNNNNNNNNNNNNNNNNNNNNNNNNNNNNNNNNNNNNNNNNNNNNNNNNNNNNNNNNNNNNNNNNNNNNNNNNNNNNNNNNNNNNNNNNNNNNNNNNNNNNNNNNNNNNNNNNNNNNNNNNNNNNNNNNNNNNNNNNNNNNNNNNNNNNNNNNNNNNNNNNNNNNNNNNNNNNNNNNNNNNNNNNNNNNNNNNNNNNNNNNNNNNNNNNNNNNNNNNNNNNNNNNNNNNNNNNNNNNNNNNNNNNNNNNNNNNNNNNNNNNNNNNNNNNNNNNNNNNNNNNNNNNNNNNNNNNNNNNNNNNNNNNNNNNNNNNNNNNNNNNNNNNNNNNNNNNNNNNNNNNNNNNNNNNNNNNNNNNNNNNNNNNNNNNNNNNNNNNNNNNNNNNNNNNNNNNNNNNNNNNNNNNNNNNNNNNNNNNNNNNNNNNNNNNNNNNNNNNNNNNNNNNNNNNNNNNNNNNNNNNNNNNNNNNNNNNNNNNNNNNNNNNNNNNNNNNNNNNNNNNNNNNNNNNNNNNNNNNNNNNNNNNNNNNNNNNNNNNNNNNNNNNNNNNNNNNNNNNNNNNNNNNNNNNNNNNNNNNNNNNNNNNNNNNNNNNNNNNNNNNNNNNNNNNNNNNNNNNNNNNNNNNNNNNNNNNNNNNNNNNNNNNNNNNNNNNNNNNNNNNNNNNNNNNNNNNNNNNNNNNNNNNNNNNNNNNNNNNNNNNNNNNNNNNNNNNNNNNNNNNNNNNNNNNNNNNNNNNNNNNNNNNNNNNNNNNNNNNNNNNNNNNNNNNNNNNNNNGGCGGGGGUCGAGGUUGCGGAUUUAGUGAGUUGAGUCUGGAGAAACCUGUGGGGGAGGAGGGGGGUCGUCCUUUGCCCACCGCUCACUGAGCAGUGGGAAGAGACCGCGGCAUCUCUCGAUUUUUUAGAGGUUGUGUCCCAAGCAGUGCUUGGAGAGGCUGAACGAGGAGAUGGGACGGUCCCAAGGUCCGGGGAUGGAGGGGCUUUGGAGGGGGGAGAUGGAGAGCUAAAUAAGGGAAUUCGGGUUGAGUUUGGUGGGGUCUGUAAGACCCCAGAGGUGGAUAGAGAGGUAAAGGGGACUUUGCAGGCCAGUGACUUGUUGAAGGGUGAGGGGAAGUGAAAGCUAAGAAGCAUGUAUGAGUAGUAAAGGGCUCCAGUUGGUGAGGUGGUGAUGUCUAGGUCACUGAGUCAUUGUGGGGGUCGUGGACACAACAGUGAUUUCCAAAGUGGGGCCCUAGCCAUUGACCUUUGAAAGUUGCAAAGACUAUUAAGAUGUCACUGGUUAGUGUUGGGUGAGCCUGGUGAAAUGGAGAUAUCCUAAGGAGAACAACAGCAGGGUUGGUUAUUAUGUUCAGAGGGAAGGGCCAGAGGCCUGUAAUAUUGUCGCUGGGGGCCUUACCUGGUGGCUCCCAAGCCUGAAGGAGGAGGCCUCAAAUCUGUCCUCCAAGGGCCCCCUGGUCUGUGAUAAAGAGGAAGGACUUAGAGCCUAAAUUCUAGUCCAGUUAGGGACGAAUAAAGUUACUGGACAAGGUAGAGAAAUAGGCAUAAGUAACUCUUGGUGGAGAGAGACUCUAAGGUGGGAUGGAAUUGGUGCAAAGUUAGUCUUUGGUUAAGGCAAACAUGGAUUGCUCCCUGGCCGUGACUUCAGUGAUUUGGUGAUUUGGUGGCUGUAUAAAGAGAUACAUUUUGAUCAGUGAUGUGUGGUGGAUAACUAGCAUUUGAAAUAUUCAAGAAUUAAGUGUUGAUUCUUAGACCAGAGAUUUGGACUCUUGUGCACAGAGCACAAAAUGAUGAGUCCGAAGUAGCAGAUAGGAAGGAUGAGUAGUAAAAUAGUUGAGAGGUAGGGCCUGGGAGGGGCAAAAGGUUAUGGGCGGGUAACAGUCAUGUGUGAGUUUGACUCUUCAUGGAGAUUGUGCAACAUGAUUGCCCUGUUGAUUUUGGUUUUUUGUCUUGGUACUAGUGGUUCGGGAUUUUAGCAAGAGAUUAAUGCUACUGUGAAUAACGUUUUGGUCCUAAGUACAAAUGUAAGAAAGACAUGCUUACUAACUAUGGAAAAAAGACCCAAGCUAUUAAAGACAGAGAUGAGUUCAUGAAAGGACAAAUUAGUUGAUGUAAGGAUGCUUUGAAGAAUGAGGAUUCCAAUAAUAGGUGGUUUGAAUAAAAAGAGAAAAUCUAAGGCAAAGUUGGGGCUGGGGUGACAUCUCACAGUUUUGGGACCUAGGAUCUAUGAUUGAACCAUUAGAAUGCUAUUUUGUAGUAACAGUGUUGAAUGUUAGAUGAUAAUAGUUCCACAAGAUAUGGUAGGUUGGUAAGGAGGUCAUUGACUAAAAGGUGAAGGAACGAUUCCACACUGGUCUCUUCUUAGAAGGCAAGUUGUAUGUAACUUGGCUUUUGAGCUCAGGAUCCCUGACCUCGAUUUUUAGAUGACUAACAUAGGUGAAAAAGUACUUAUGCACAUUAGAAUUUGUUCUAUGGGAUAUUUGCCCCAUAGCCUUCAGAAGUGUCUUCUGCUGUGAAUCAAAAGAAAAUGCUCUCUGGCUUAUAGGGGGGAAAACAUACAGAAGUUUCACAAGCAUUAUAACCAACUAAAUUAUUUGAUCAUGGUGACUUGGGAUGGUGGUUAGAGCCAUGAACUUGGAAUCAGGAAGCUGGCUUCCCAUUGACUUCUGUGACUUUGAACCAAUCUCUCAUAUUUAUUCUCCAGUUUUCCCAUUGAUGAAGUGGGGAUCCCACUGCCCUGACCACUCAUAACACAUUGCAUUGCUUAACAAGUGAAUGCCUAUCUGUAAACUGCUUUGAACACUUCUGAGAAUGAGAGAUGAUGUAGCCCAACUUUUUUCUCACUUCUAAAAGACUGCUCUCUCAGGAACAGACCACUUUCAGCUUUUGUAACAAUCAUGGCAGCAUAGUUGAUCAAGGAACAAAAAGGAGUACCUUAUGCAUCUGUCUUGUUCUAUCAUCUGGGUUUUGGUUUCCUACUGAUUUUUUGAAAGGUGAUACCUCUUCUCCAUUUACGAGGAAGUUAGAGUGAUGACAAUCGGAGAGUGUAAGGAGAGGUCCCCAUGGAGAGUAGGAAUGUACAUGCUGUGAAUGCUCACCUAGACUGAUGUCUGCCCUGAAUUUGUGUGAUCUUGGACAUGUUACUUGGCUUCAUGGUGCCUUAAUUUUCUUCAACUAUGAAAUAUUGUUGGUGGAAUAACCCACUUGUCCGUCUGCCUUGGUUGACUGCGCUGUUAGUCUAUGGAAACUUUAUUUGUCGCAGAGCAACUUUAUUUGUUCCUAACCUCCUAUGCCCCACAUAUGCCUUUGGCAGGCUAAUGAAAUAUAGGACCUCUUUUGGGAACUGUGUUUUUAAAAUGCAUAAAAUGAAACACAUGGACUUACAAAUGACAUGGAAACAGUUAUCAAAAUGUUGAUCAGUUAUGAUAUAGUAAUACAUAUGCUUCUUUCUAACACAUUAAAUAACAAAAUGUAGCUGCAGGUCUAACCAUACUGUAAUUUUGAACUGGCGAUGAGUAAAUAUUGUGUUGAAGUGUCUGCAGCAAGUAUAAUGUGACAUGAAAAUGUCCUGUGGUUUGUCUUGGUGACAGUCACAGGGUUGCUAAUACUAUCACGGGUCGUUACCUCCCUUCACAAUUGAAGGCAGUGCUGACUUUUGCUGAAGAGGUGAGUGAGUACAAACGAAGAUGAACGUUUCCCCCCAGUAAGUCCACAGCUGCCACCAAGUUUCUCCACAGACCCCAUGUGAGGCAGCGGGUCCCAGGUUAAGGGCUCCUGCCCUAGACCAGCUGAUUUUUGAAAAUUAAAUGAUCUUAUGGCCACUCGCAGUUAAAGCUUUGCAGUAUUUUUUUUGACAUCUCCAAAUCCAAGAGCGUAAAGAAGGUAUGAAGUAAAAGUUCGUUUUGCAGCCUGUUGGUGACUAUUCUUGCUUGUGGAGAAAAGUAAAAACGAUGAUUAGCAUCAGGCUUUCACGUCUGGUGGAUUUUGCUUUGCGAAACAGCCCCGUCUUCAGGGGGGCGGAUUUGGGCUGUGCUGCUCCGUCUCCUUGCAUUUUGAGUUUUAGUGGUUUGCCUUCAUUCUCCAUUUUUGACCUAAUUAUUUUCUCACUACUCCUUCCAAAUACUCUGUUGGCCACAGAGCAUUGGGGAAUGGGUGGUUUUCUUUGCAGUUGGUGUGAAUUGGGGUAUGAACUUCUCCAUUCUUCUCGUCCCUGUAGGACUCAAUGUGGGACUAGCUGGUGUCACUCUACUUUGACCUAAAAAUUCCCUUCUGUUUGGGAGGCAGAGCUCAUUCUUGGAAAGUUCUUCCGUGUCCCAAUGUAGAAGAGAGAGCAGAUCGGACAUCUCGAAAGGUAAAGAACCUGAUGAUGAACAUGUAACUUCUGCGAUUCACUCUGAGUAUUUUAGAGUUUUGUUUCUGUUUCUGUAGGGUCUCUUAUACCUUCCACUUGUUCAUUAUUGUAACAGUUCCCAAGGCAAAGGUCAUCAAGUCGAAUGCAAGUCUAAACUGUAAGUGUAGUCACAUUAUACUUUCCUGUGAGCAGGGACUUCUGCAAUUGCUCACCUCAUGGGAAAGGCAGGUGGGAAGACGUUAAACAGGUGUUUAGCGUGUCUUCAUCGGUCUGUGUAAAUACAAGCCAAAGGUAGCAAAACUUAAGCCCCAAGCUCAUUAUAAUCCUUGGAUCACUCAGUAUUUAUUGAGUUUCUCUUGGGCAUCGGGUGCUGAGAUGAUGACCCUUUUUCUCAGGGGGCUCUGUGUCUCCACAUAACAGGGAUACAGUUUAUAAGGUGUAAUAGUGUUGUGACUAUGACGCUGAAGGGCCACAGAGGACAUGCCUAGGGAUAGCUGGGAAUCAAGGAGAAUUUCACAAAGAAGGGACAUCUGUGCUGACAUUUUACUUUGGGUGGCCAUCAUUCCAAAUGAUAGUUGAAGUUCAUUUUUGAAUGUUUACAUUUUGCCAAGACUCUUUAGUUUGGUAGAAAUGUUUAUUUGCUUGCCUAAGGUUUGUUGGCCUGCAGGGCACUAGAGGCAUUUUGACCCUUCGAGUAUGAAAACACAACGUUAGUAUUUUGUGUGGACCAAGAUUUUCUGCACAUGCCUAUCACCUAGUUGUCUUUCCCCCACAUGUUGGAGAGAGAGUGUUUCUUCCUGUUGUGUACUCUUUCUGCAAGGAAGCCUGUUAGGAGUUGGCAUGCCAGAAGUCAAGAAUGAGCUAGGAAUGGAAUCCUGCGGCCUUUUCGUUCCACAUUCUAAGUUUGAUACUCUGCCUUUUAUGGAGCAGUGGUCAUAGUGUAGAAAUGAAAUUUGUUAAACAUGACAUAGUUGUAAUAAACUUGACUUCUUAGAGCAGGAAAGUGGGAAAGGAUCAUUGGAGGAAUGGAAAUUGGUAUUGUAGAGGUGGUUCUGAGCUUGGUCAGAUUAACUUGUGAAUUUCUUUACAACAUUGUGACCACCUUGUAGAGUCUCCUUUUAAAGAGUCCGAGGUAGUGUGGCCUUAGAACAGGCUGGAACUUGGUUCUUCCUUGCAAUUUCAGAACUAUAAAAUCUGGGCAAAGGGGGGAGGCUCAGGGUUCUAAUUCUGUUUUACAAGGACUCACACUGGAAAUUGUCCUGCUUGACCAGUAGCUUGUUUUAUUGACUUACCUAGCUCAAGUCAAUGUAGCCUUGUGCCACAGUAGGCACUCAGUCAGAGGAAAUCAUCUGGCCAGGUUGUUUGGCCCCAAGUUCUCCCGAAAGUAUGUGAACCGUGCUUGCCGAACGCUUGUGAUGCAGAACCCGGUUGAGAAGGGGGAGGACUGCUGCGUCGCUCUGUGCCUUUGGCAUCAUGUCUCCAGUUGUGUGUCUCCCGCCUUCCCAGCCAGCUCUCACUUCUCCCUAAUAACAAGGACUGGACAGAAGCAAAAAUGGGAGGGGUGUUUUUCUCCUACCAAAUGCCCAGAAAUUUAAAAAAUAGAAACAUUGAUUUUAUUUGCUCUUAGUAUUUCACCAGUCGCUGAAAAUAAAACGUGCAGUUGGGGAAGAGGCAGAGUCCCAAGGCCUAGGGCCUUGAGAUGUCUGCAGAUUGGAUAACACACUCUUUAAAAAAUUGGAAGUUGAUUCCCUUUACCUGGGAGGUGACAACAGCCUCUCAAUCUAGUAUUCUAGAAUAAAUAGGAAAUCUGUUCUUCUCUUAAGGUGUUCAGUGACAACACGAUAUAGUGGAUUUUUAAAAGAAAUCCAUUUAGGGGCACCUGGGUGGCUCAGUCAGUUAGCGUCUGACUUCGGCUCAGGUCAUGAUCUCACAGUUUGUGAGUUCGAGCCCCGCGUCGGGUUCUGUGCUGACAGCUCAGAGCCCGGAGCCUGUUUUGGAUUCUGUGUCCCCCUCUCUCUCUGCCCCUCCCCCACUUGUGCUCUGUCUCUUGCUCUCAGAAAUAAAUAAAUGUAAAAAAAAAUUUUUUUUUAAUCCAUUUAGAAGUUUUUCUUCUUCAUCCUCAUCCAGGUGAGGGUCACCUUUGAGAAAGGGGUUCCCGGACUCCCCCGGCUCCUCACCUCCAGGAUGAGCACUGCGGUAUCGUGACCCUUGGGGUUUCGGUGAGUAGCCUGAUGGAUGGUGGCACUAGAGAACCUGGCUGGCUUAGAAAGAUGAUCUUGGGGAAAAACUUCGGCUUUUGUUCAACAGAUAUUUUUUGAGCAGACACCACAUGCUGGGUGCUGUAGUAAGCACUGGGAACACAGAGGUGACCAAACAAAUCACCCUUGACCCCUGCCUUCCCUUUCUGAAGAAGAAAUCCCGAAGCCGAGAUUUCAGGCAUUCGGCAAAAAUAUUCAGACUCCAUACGGAGGGUUGUGGUGAGGGAGAGACGUGUCGGGAAUGACUCCCGUGUUUCCGGCAAGAACCGACUGGGUGGACGAAAGUGCCAUUGACCACAGUGUGGAAGACUGAGGGGCAGGUGCGUCGGGGAGGGAUGAAGAGUUCCUCUCCCAUCUAGGGAGACGUCAAGGUGAUGGCUGCAUGUGCAGGUCUGCGGGGCGCCAGCUGAGCUGGAGAUGGGAAAUUGGGAGUCAUUGGCUCCGAGAGAGCUUACAGAGUGGGGAGAGAAGAGUGCCGAGGAGCUCUGAGGAGCUCUGAGUCGUAGAGGCUGAGUGGAGAAGGGGCUGGCACAGGGCGCAGGUGGAGAGCGACUGGGGAGGCAGGAGGGAAACCAAGGAAGUGUGGCGGCCUGGAAACCGAGAGGGGAGAGUUCCAAGAAGGAGGUGAUCAGCUGGCAGACUAAGAGGUGGAGUCCGAUGAGGUUACAAAAGUGGCCAGUGGUGACCUUAACCAAAACAGUGGUUUCUGUGAUCCGGGUGGGGGUGGGGGGUGGAAGUCAGUUUAAAAUGGUUAAAGGGUGAACGGCAAGUAAGGAAGGGAAAACCACGUGUCUUGUCAACUCUGUGGAGAGACUUGGCUCUGAGAGGGACUAACAACAUGCUUUGUUUUCCUGUAAUUUUUUGGUCUCUGUUCAACGCUGGAAGACAUACCACGUGUCUGCGUGGUGGCUGGAAGCACGCAGCAGAUAGCGGGGAAGACCCAAGGAGAGAGAGAGAGAGAGAGAGAGAGAGAGCGUGCUCAUGGAAAGCUGGAAGGGAUGGGGUCUAGACCGCCUGUGGCGGGACUGACCUUUGAGGAAAAGUGGGCUAUUUUCUCUGUUUCGAUGAUAGAGAAGAAGGAGGGGGUGGGCACCGUGAAAACAGGUUUGCAGACUUGGUGGUGAGGACGACGUCACGUCCUGCCUGGUGACUUCUUUUCUCCUUGUUAAGUCCUGGGCAGGACCGUGCCCUGAGAGAGGGGAGGGCAGGGUGGAAGGGGACAGUUGAAGAGGAACAAGAUAUGCCAUUGGGCAGGAUAAGCGAGUGAGCUUGCUAGACAGUGAUGGUCGCCGUAGUACCAGUUAACCCAGAGGCUGAUACUGUGCCGCCAAGCGCUGUCUUCCGGGCGCUAGCUCACCUUGUCCACCAAGUCCCCAUCUUGACAGUGAUGAAGAGCACAGCCGGGGGCCUGGCCGAAUGCCAGCUCUCCCACUUACUAGAGUAUGACUAACUCGCAUAUGACUAACUCACGUAUGACCCAACUCGCUCCGGCGAACGGCUAAACGUUUCAGAGCCUCAGUUUCCUCACCUCUCAAAUAGGUGGGGGUACCUGCCUCCCGGCGCUGUGGUCAGUGACUUAAUAUGUACAGGCCUUGCCUGAAAGAGUGUCUGAUACCUCGUUAGGAAGAAUUUUAAAUAUGAGCUAAGAAGAAAAGGGAGAAGCAUUGAAUGAAUAGAUCUUCAAGUUGGAAGCCUGAGUUCUGUUGGAGGAAAAAGUCUCUCUGUGGCUGUAAUGAAUCAUCUUCUGUGGAAGACCUUUUCCAGUCCUUAAAAUGACAGCUGAGCACCAGCCUGCAAAUGUAGGCCCCCAAGAGCCAAAUUGUAGUCUUUGGAACUAUAUGAUGAGACACUUGGUGGAUUCUUUUGCCGGGCUAAGGCUAGGGUGACUGACUUCAACUACUCCCCUGGCUCAUCCAGGGGUUUUGAAAACCCAGGAUUUUGUUCCCCGUCAGUCAGGGAGUCCACAUGCCUGCUUCAGCCUUCAUGCUGUCUCUCCGCCCGUAAGGUCAUGGUGAGGAGGUGGCUUCAAUGAAGAGUAGGGUCGGGGAGAACCGAUUGCAAACCUGGGAAGAAGCCAUGCACACCGUUCACAUGUGCUCCCUCCAUUCACCUGUAAAAUGCCCAUCCAUCAAGGCUGAGAAACUCGUGAGAAUAAGAAACUGUCUUUAGGAGUACUUUGAAGAUAAAAGUGUUGUGUGCUCACAGUAUUAUUAUCAGAAAUCAUCUUUGCUACCAGUUCAUCAGAAAUGCCUGGCAGACGGGCACCUGGGUGGCUCAGUCGGUUAAGCGACUUCGGCUCAGGUCAUGAUCUUGCAGUUCCGGAGUUCGAGCCCCGCAUCAGGCUCUGUGCUGAUAGCUCAGAGCCUGGAACCUGCUUCGGAUCCUGUUGUCUCCCUCUCUCUCUGCCUCUCCCCCACUUACACUCUGUUUCUCUCUUUCAAACAUAAAUCAACAUUUAAAAAAAUAUUUUUUUAAAGAUAGGCCUGGCAGAUUGAGGCGAUUUGAUAUUUGUAAUAUGUUUUGAGUUCCUUUGGAGAAAGUGUACCACAAAUGCCAGAUGUUUCUGUUCUGGGAGAAGCAGACGGAGUAUGUCACUGAGGGUCCGAUCACAUCUUAGUACAUCAUGCUGAGUAUUAUAGACAAGCCAAAGAACUUGAAAACAAGAUUCUUGUCUUCAAAGAACAUAGUCUUUCUUCAUAAGGAGAUAAAACAUACACAUAGGACUAUUCAGUAUGACAUAUGAUUGAGUGCUAGAAUGUGUGAUGCAGACAGAAAGUACCAGAAGUUACAGAAGGGGACUAUUUGGUGGUAACUACUUUUCUGUUCCUGAGGUAAAUGUUUUCUGAUGGCUUUGUCCAUGCAAGAUUCAGUAGCUACUUGUAUGUUACCAGGGAUUCCUGAUGUUUAGUGAGAGGUUACAAAAUGGUUUAUGAUUAUGUAUGUCAGACUUGACAACCACGAUCAAUUUUAUAGUUCAGACUGAAAAAAAAAAAAAAAGCUGAAGGUGGUGGGGGCUAAAAGUACAACCUUAAAUACCAUCAAGACCAAAAUGUUUUUUUGGGAUGUUUUUCCCCCCGAGGUCGGCAUAGAAAACAUUCCAUACCAUUUUCUUCUAGUUUUUCCUGACUUCAUCAUUUAAAAAGAAAAAAAAAAAAGUAAUUGUGUGCACUGAGAACUUCCAUAAAUUCCUUUUAGCGUCUCAGGUAAAAUAGCUGAGACUAUUGCAGAUUUCCAAAGGAAGGCAUGGAUGUUUAACCCUUGACCGUGAUCAGACUCGGCGCCAAAACCUGUAACAACUCCCAAUCUCCAGUCCGGUUCUGGAGUCCCACAAAGUGUGUGUAAGUGGUAACACCCGAGGUACUUCUGACUCCCUGUGAUUCUUCAGCCACGAGUCCCGCAUCUUACAUCCUUCUAUCUCAGUCCCGGGCCCCUUCGCCAAGCUAUCAGAAGUCCCACCAAGCUAUCAGAAGAGAGUAGAGGGGACAGCGGUUACCCGAAAACCAUAUUGGAACUGCCCUGGAAGGAUCAGUGACUGAAAGUGGGUUUUGGUUGUCCCUGAACUAGUCCGGGCGUCCUGAAGUAAAGGGCGUUCUCAUUUGCUCUCUGGCUAGGUUUGGGAAUAUUUUCUUGACCUUUAUGCUUCAAAUUAGCCUUGCAGAUUGGCUCAAAAACUAUCUUAGCUUCCAAAGAUGUUCUUUUACCUUCAGUAUGAUGGAUCAUUCCCAUGCUUAGCCAUGCCUACGGUCCCUGUCAUUAAACAGCGAGAACUCCAGACACAUCCUUGGCAUAAUUUAAUAGAAAGAUCGUGGAAGUCAGGGGGCAGAACUGAUUGUAUUUGGUAUUGGCUCAGCAGCCGAUCUCAGAAGGACCUCCUCCAAUGUCUCCCCACCCUGAGGUCCCGAGAAUAUAAACAGAGAUUAAUUUGUUUCGUGGUUUGAAAUCGGGAUGGGUUUGCUACAUUUCAGUGCCGUUGUCUGCCAUCAGAGGCGAAACACCGGAUAGUUGCUAUGGAUUUGGGAGUGCCCUGUGGUUUCAAAGCAUUGUUUUGAAAAGAGCAGAUAAACCUGCGUUUUGGGUGGGUUUGUAUCUGGAAGUGGAGAAACGUAAGGGAGAAUAUAUGGCUGAAGAUGAAAUGUUUUUCUUGUGUGCUUGCCGACGCCCGGUACAUGAUACUUGGUGGGAGGCCCGUGUGCUUGGCAGAGAGUCCUGUCACUCUCUAGCUGCCUUCUCGCCAGAGCAUGAACACCGCUCCCCCUUUGGCCCUGUUGGAAGCCCAGGAGUGAUGUAGCCGCCGCGUCUAGUUGGCUAGACUGUAACCUUGAUCCUGUUGUAAGGGUGUUUUAUGUCUUUCUGGGUGGCCUUUUCCCAUAGUGUGCCCUGGAGAUGCGAGAUUUUCCUUUGGCAGCAGGAGGCACACACCCAGAGGAUGCCGGAGCUGCAAGGGGAAAGGACCCACUUCCACAGCAGAGAAAAGCAAAGAGGAAAAAGGCAUACAGGUGGCCAGCGCUGAGGGCCGCGCCCAGCAAGCCGCCGGCCGCUGCCACUGCCCUCAGCAGCUGUCUGUGCUGCAGCCCGAGAGGAACUCGN
RNAcentral lists this long non-coding RNA (71430 nucleotides) under Lynx pardinus (Iberian lynx). The stretch from base 35930 to 36004 matches the Rfam family "tRNA". The record is from RNAcentral. Lineage: Eukaryota; Metazoa; Chordata; Mammalia; Carnivora; Felidae.